CCUGUAUGUGCCCAUUCACCGGAGAAAGACUAUAAUGCCACUUCUUGUCCGGCUCUGCUACCUUCUUCAUUGUAGACCAUGACUAGUGUGCGGAGCAUUCUGCUUGUGGCUAAAGGGAUUGUAACAAUAUACAAGAAGCUACCAGGUACUGCCUCCUUGAGUAAUAUUGCUUGCAAGUAAUAGCUCUAGUAAUGGUAAUAGUUCUAGUUUGAGGAGUGCAGAGGUUAUUGAGGAAGGAGAAUUGGCAGGUAAUGUUGGUGGAUAUUUGGGAGAUUGUAUAAGUAGCAGGGUGUAGUAAUGUAAAUGAGAGGUUUUAUGUGCCAAAGGAGUGCAAAUUACCAUGACCUUGGAUUAAAUAGGGUAAUUGUUUUGCGUAAGUUAGUAGAUGGGUGUACAUUACGGUGUAUGUGAAUGUAUUAUAGAGCUCCACAGUUAUACCCAGUAUGUAUGAGUGUAUUCUAGAACUUCCCAGUAAUACGCACUGUGUAUGAGUAUAUUAUAGAGUUCCACAGUUAUACCCAGUGUGUAUGAGUGUAUUAUAGAGCUCCAUGAAAAUAUGCAGUGAGUAUGAGUGUAUUAUAGAGCUGCUAAGUAAUAUGCACUGUGUAUGAGUGUAUUAUAGAGCUCCAUGACAAUAUGCAGUGAGUAUGAGUGUAUUAUAGAGCUGCCCAGUAAUAUGCAAUGUGUAUGAGUGUAUUAUAGAGCUCCAUGAAAAUAUGCAGUGAGUAUAAGUGUAUUAUAGAGCUGCUAAGUAAUACACACUAUGUAUGAGUGUAUUAUAGAGCUCCAUGACAAUAUGCAGUGAGUAUAAGUGUAUUAUAGAGCUGCUAAGUAAUACACACUAUGUAUGAGUGUAUUAUAGAGCUCCAUGACAAUAUGCAGUGAGUAUAAGUGUAUUAUAGAGCUGCUAAGUAAUACACACUAUGUAUGAGUGUAUUAUAGAGCUCCAUGACAAUAUGCAGUGAGUAUAAGUGUAUUAUAAAGCUUCUCAGUAAUAUGCACUGUGUAUGAGUGUAUUAUACAGCUCCAUGAAAAUACGUAUUGUGUAUGAGUGUAUUAAAGCGCCGUGGUAAUAUUUAAUGUGACGAGACCAAUCUCGUCCACAUUGCAUUGGAGAAGCCUGGCUGCUCGCCUGCUGCCUUUGGACUAUGGCCCCAUGUUAAAAGACUUUGUUUCGCCUGCAGAAAAGCUUUAUUCAUGCUUUUCUGCCGGUUGUUCGGUGAAUUCAAUCUACCGAACAACCGCACGAAUGAAUAGACCACCUGGGAGCUGGAGUGUGCCGGCAAUUAACCUCCCUGAAGCUGUGGUUAACCACAGCUUAAUUGACGAAUGCUGGGUGGCCGCCAUUCGUAUCCCGAACACGAGGUCGCGGCCAUUUUAACCAUGCGAAUGCACAGCGGUGUUCGACGCUUAAUUCAUGGAACUAAAAUCGGACACAGUUUUGCGCGAACACCGCUGAAGCCGCUGACCUCCCUUCUUGUUCGGUGGAAGUACACGAACGGCCGGUGUUCGGUAGUUUUACUUGUCUAUGUAAUACCCCAGAUAGGAAUCCCAUGGAGCCCAUUCGCAUGAAACUGACUGUGCAAAGACUUUAGCUCCAUGACGAUUAAACUGUAUUCGUGUGGUCUGAGCGCCAUUCGCUUAAUAAUGUGCGCUAAGACCUGAGCUAUCUGGGGACAUGUUAAAUGUAUAGUUUUAAUGUAAUGUGUCUCACAUAGUGUAUUUUAAUAGUAAUUCCUGUUUUAGUAUCCCCACGUGCAUAAUGGCGAUUUGCCUUUGUCUUGGGAGAUAAUUGAAUUACUUCUCAAUUAUCUCCAAGGCAGAGGGGAGGAAGCCAGGAUGCAUUGUGGGAAUAUAAUGUGACUGUGUGACCUAUUUGUCUAUUUGUCUGUCUUUUGUCACAGUCUCCCAUUUGGUCCCCUAGGGGAGUGUCCACCAGGUGGGAGACCUGCAUAAAUACUGGACAGAUAGCCCUCAUUAAACAGACCACUGCUUGACCCUCAACACGGAGCCUUGUCUCGUCUUUGGGGGGAUUUACUGAAUGCUGAUAGAGACUGAUUGCUAGGAGUGUAAGCCGCUUGGAUUCUUUUCCUAUUCGUCUGCUAGCAGCGAUUCGUAUGGUUCCUGUUCAUGUGUUUGGAGUGCUAUAUUGGAUGCCGUUCGGGAGUUUGGAGCAUUCACUUAUUGGCGGCUCGUGUGUUUGGUGUUCUACAAUAGCUGUGCCUGCAUCUCUGGAAAGGGGGAUGAUCGCCUAAACGGUUUUUACCCCUUGUGUGCAAAACGGUCCGUUAAAUGUAAUAUCUCCAUUCGUGUAUUUGGACUAUAUGGUUCGGGAACCGAACAGCCGCACGAACCAGAGACCACCCUGGAGCUUGUUUAGCCUAAUUAAUAUUUUCUAGCAAUGUCCACCGCAGUGUUCUAAGUGUUCAUCUGGGUGGCCACAUUUCAUAUCGACAACCACAAGGUGGCGGCCAUCUUGUUCGCAUAGGCAGCGGUGCUUGGUCAUCAAGUUCAUGGAACUACUUUCGGACACUGAAACUCCUGAACACCGCUGGACUUCCAUGAUCGCCUGUGUUCGGUUUUACAACACUUAGAAAGACACUGUUCGGUGAAAACAUUCCCACGAACAAAGGAAACAAACUCCAGGGUAAGAACAUUGACUAUGUUCAGUAGUUUGUUCGGUUUUUAAACUACCGAACUAGACCGACAGCAAGUCCUGAUUCUCUGGAACUGUUUUGGGCAUAGGACCAUGCAUGCGGUCGGUCAAAUUAUGACUUCCAGGAAAUUCCUGAACCCCUGAACCAAUCUGGGUGAUUUUUGGAUAUGUUGGUCACCCAGAUCGGGGCUAUCAGGGGAUGUAACUGUGGGGUUUUAUGAAUUUUUAAGGUACUUUUGGGGUAUUUGGGAAAUGUGUGUUUUUUGUGCCUGGAGAUAAUUAAGUUUAAUACAGUGCUUGACUCAAUUAUCUCCCAGGCACAGGGGAGGGAUUAUCUUGUUUUGUAUGGGAGUGCCCUGGACCUGUGUAUAUGUUUUUACUGUAGUCUACUCUCAGGGGGAGUGCCCCUUGCAUGGGGACCUGCAUAUAAGGCCAGUUGUGGCUGCCAAUAAACAUAGUCCAGCUUGUACUCCCAGAACUAUGUAUAGUCCUUACCUUUAAGUCAUCAGAAAUAAUCACCCCUAAAUCCCUUUCCUCAGAUGUUGAAGUUAUCUCUAUCAAAUAUUCUGUACUCUGCCCUUGGGUUUUUUCGUCCAAGAUGCAUUAUCUUGCACAAUAGUGUUCCUUGUAAUGUGCAAUGGCAGAGAAAGAUAUUAUUGUUUGUGUGCAAUAGUUUUCUGCUUUGCUGGUGUUUUGCUUCUUAUUGUUCAAAACAUCUUCUGUUAGAACCCUGAACACACUAUUAAGCCGCAACAUGUCUUGGACAUAGUAAUUAAGGUGACAGCCAACAAGCAAAAUAAUCUGCAUGUGUACAAUGUCCAUGCAGGAACACUAACAAUGCAGUCAAUCUUCUAAAUCUAAUUUGGUCUCAUUCUAGGUUCAUGUCAUGUUUAUGUUACAUUUUUGUUUUUAUAAAAUAAUUCAUCAUUACAAGAGUAGGAACGAAAAUAGAGAUAAAGGCAAUAAAAAUAAAUGUUGCCAUUUUUCGCAAGUCGGAUACCCAUGACGGCUGCUGAAUAUUUUAAAAUAAGCCAGUAAACUAUGUUUAUGAAACAUUUUAUUUUGUGAGCUGUGUGCAUCUGCUCACUUCAAGCUUUAUUAGCAUGAAUGCAUUAAAUUGGCAUUGGCAAGAUUUGUGCUAGUGAACAAUCAGAGUUGGCAACAUUAAAAGCUGCGGUCGGAGAAUCUAAGCCAAAUAAUUUAGUUAUAUUUAAAACAGGCUCCAUUCCUUCUGCAAUAUUUGUGAUGAUACACUGACUUUGCAGUUAAUCAUCCUUUGAUGUGAACCUGUCACCCAUAAAACGUGUGGCUGCCAAGUUCAUCUGAAGGUAGGUUUUUCAUGACAUCUGUACAUGCAUAUAAUCAAUAAUCAAUAUACUGAAUUGGUAAAAUCCACAAUAAAUGUAUAUUUUAAAAGAUGCAUUUUUUCCUCCUUCUUCCUACAAUAUGCCAUUGGAUUAAAUAGGACGCAACCACCCAAUCUUCAAAAAAUGCUUGAUACAUCCCAUACUACAUUUGUAUCACAAACUUUAUAUAACUAAUAUAUGUAUCUUAUAUUAUAAUAUAACUAAUAUAUGGCCGGGAAGGUGAUAUAAUAAUUUUGCAAUAACACUUAAAUUAUCCUUUUGAAAGCCAAUUGGCUAGCAUGAUGUGGAUAAACACUAUUCUUUAAGUGGCAUAAGGUUCAUUUUUUAAAUCAUAAGUGCUCUUUUAUUAUUCCCUACUAGAGGACUGCAAUAUUGUGUCCACUUCAAAAAUGAUAGAAACAUGUCUAAUUAUGUCUGCCCCUACAUCUAUGAAGCUCCAUAAAACUACAAAACAGCUUCACUGCGGUUUUCCACUGUCCAUUAUUACUGUAAAAGAGAAAUGUAUGACUUUCAAAAAAUAGAUUAUACUCAAUAUAAAUGUAUUACAUUCUUCAAAGGUUAAACAAAUGUAUACAUAUAUGUUAUAUAUUGGAAAGAUUCACAUACGAACCAGUGACCCCACAUAUCCUAACUAUAUGUCGCAGAAUUGUCAUGUGACUGUAGCGGAGUAGAAGUAAUAACAUCAAUAUCUCCGCUGGUAGCCUUAAAUAAUAUCCAAGAGAAGCGUGGCUCGGCAUUCCCAUCCAAAUUCCCCAAUAACUGCACGAUACACAGCUUUGGGAGUCAACUGGUUUUUAUCGAGCCACAGCUGGCUUUUAUACAAUUCCCCAUGCAAGGGGUUUCCUUAAUUACAUUCCAGGGGUUUACCUUGGUGGGGACAGGGAGCAAAGACACAUUUCUCAGACUCCUUUUCUGUACUUGGAAGAUAAUUGCGUAAGGAUACUUCUUUAAUUAGAUUAUCUCUCACAUACAGAAAAUUAAACAUUUUGAAACUUCAUAACUCCUAUAAUAUUAGUCAGAACUCCACCGAAUAGCAGGGAUCUGAGCACCCAAUUUGUCGAAAUACCGCUCAUAUCCGUUCGGUAGAACAGGAACGCCAUUCGAGUGAAGUUUAGACAGGUCAACCACAAGGCGAAGCCCCAAAACAAUUCCAUGUGGUUGUAUGCUGUGACCAGUCUUCUUUCGGGAGUUUUCACUACUAAACUAACGAAUGCAAAUGUUCAUGAAUAGGGUAGUCGUGUGCCUGGUGUUUAUUCGUUCCAUUCAGUCGAAUGCCGCUCUUUAUAGACAAAAGGAAAUUAACGUAUGAACAGGAUGGAAGUUCAGCAGUGUUCGCACGGUCGAGUGUCCGAUUAUAGUUCCACACACUCGACAACCAAACACUGCUAUAGGUUCGUGAGCAAAGAUGGCCACUGCCACGUGUUCGGUCAUACAAACGGCGGCCACCCAUCCGACCAUUUAGAACCUUGCGGUUUUCUGGUGUGAAGAUAGUCAAUUGGAGGCACACGACUUCCUUGGGUGGUCUCCCCGUUUGGUGGUUGGUUCGACUGACGAACAAUAUAUCUAUAUUCUGUUCAGGAACCUCAAUUAGUCGAACCAACUCAGUCUUUCAUACAAAUAAGUGGCUAGUUUUGCCACAGUGACCAUGGUGUUUUACAGCAAAAAUGAUGAAUAGCAAAACAAGCUCUUCAGGGAAGGGAAUAAAUAAUCGUAAAAGUAAAUGACAAUUAUAAACUAUAGGUUUCUUUGCAAUUUUCCCAUAUAUCCCAGCUGUGUUAAAGUUGCACAUGUACACUGGAACUUUGUCUAUAUGACAUUUCAUGUAUUUUAUUGUCUAAAACUAAAUUCAAGAUUUCUUUGAGCGAUGGAGUAUCAGGCGAUUUCCAAUAUCGUGGUAAACACGAGUUAGAAGCAAUUAGAAGCAAAUACUUUUAUUAUUAGUCUAUGUAUUUCCUUUCAAUAUUUAGACAAUUUUGGGCAGCACCACCAAAUAUGAGCCAUAUUACCUACACCUCCGCAAUCUCUCCAACACGGGUCAGAGUACUUGUUAUUCAUAUUGUUUAGACGAGAGGGAGCCAGGUACCAUUGAUAAAGGAUCUUGUAAUGGUUCUCAAGUUGAUUUGUACAAUAAGUUAUACCUUUGAGAGCUGUAAAAAUUUUAACCAUUCCUCCAAACUGUACUGUGUACCUAGCUCCCUCUCCCAUGACAAAAUGUGUCCUAGUUUAACCCCUUAAGGACACAUGACAUGUGUAAUGUGUCAUGAUUCCCUUUUAUUCCAGAUAUUUGGUCCUUAAGGGGUUUAGUGUUAUGCAGUGAGUAAGAAAUAGACAGUAGCCCUUUUCGUCCUGGGUCAUGUAAAAAUAACUUUUCUAAUUUAGAACUUUCCAAAAUUUUAUAGUUUUUAUCCAAUUCUCUAACAUUAAAUUUUUCUUUAAUUUUUUUUUGCUAAUUUCUAUGUAGUUUGUUCUUGAGUUAUCAGGUACACUAUAUUUAAAUUGCAUUUUUUUUAAAUGAAAGAAUGGAAUUUCCCUGGGAAAAAAAUGGUCCAAAUAUGUUAUGGAAUGGCUAUGCCAAAAAUGUAUGUCUAUAGUAGGUAAAUGAUCGGUUAAUAUUGAGAUUGGCAUAGCUCUAUAGAGACCUGAACCCAGAGUUUUAUUCUUGAAAACAAUAUCCCAUACCUUAAGUGUGGUUCUGGUAGAUAAAAACAUAGUGGUAGUUUUAGGCCUUUUUUUCGGAUUAAGCCAUAAUGCAUCUUUUAGAGAGGCUGGUAAAACUUUAGUUUCCUCCAUCUUCAACCAUCUGGGUUUGUUGUUGUGUAUGUUAAAUCCAACUGCUGUAGCAGCGUUAGUGGCAAAAUAAUAUUUGCAGAUGUCUGGUACACCAAUGCCGCCAUUAAUUUAAUUCUACCAUGUUUGUUUUUCCAUAUAAACUUUAACAUAACUGAAUAAGUUUUGGAGAAAAAAGAUAACGGAUAGACAGGGGUAUGGUCCUAAAAUAGUAUAGGAGUUUCGGGAAGAUUGUCAUCUUAAUAGAUACAAUCCAUCCCAGCAAAGAGUUCCAUUUCACACCAUCUCUCCAUCUCUUUUUGUAAGGCGGGCCAUGCUUCAUUUAAAUUAUACAUAUGCAUAUAGGUUAAGUUUUUACAUAAAUUGAUACCUAGGUAUUCAAAAUAAUCUACUCUCAAUUUGUAAGGAUAUGUUCUUUUUAAAAUUACCAGGACUAAAUGAUUAACAUAAAGUCAGAGGGCCUGAGUUUUGGAUAUGUUCAAUUUAUAGUAUGAGACUUCACUAAAUUGUUUUAGAAUCUCUUUUAAAUGACUUAAAGAUGAGAUCCGAUUGCUAACAGCCAAUAAAAUAUAAUCUGCAAACACUCCUAUUUUAUGGAUUGAGUCCUCGUCUUUAAUUCACUCUAUCUCAGGUGUGGUUCUUAUUAAUUCGGCUAAGGGCUCCAUCGCUAAAACGAAUAAAAGGGGAGAUAAAGGGCAGCCUUGCUUGGUUCCAUUUGUGUGAGAACAUUUCUGAUUUGAAGCCCGAAGCUGAUACAUGAGCCGUAGGGUUACCAUAUAGAGCAGAGAUGAGGGAAUGUUACAUUUUUGCAAAGUGGGAAUGUUACAUUUUUGCUAAAUUUUCCAUAGAUAACCGCAGUGUAUUCUGUUAAAUGCCUUCUCCGCAUCUAAAGAUAAGAUCAGAGAAGGCGUCCUGACAGAAUUAAUGUGUUGAAUUAAGUUAAUAAAACAUGUGCCGUCAGGAGCUUGUUUUCCAUGCACAAACCCCACUUGGUCUCUAUUGAUUAUAGAAGGAAUAAGUUUAGCCAAUCUAUUGGCCAAAAGUUUAGCAUACAUUUUCGCAUCGUUGACCAUGGUGUUUUCUAAGGGAUGGAAUUUAUUGGCUCUGUAGGUUUUAAAUGCGUAUCAAAAAAGAAGUGAGUUAGGUAGGUGUGCGUAUUUGGACCUGUAUAAACAACAAAAUAAAGUGCAAGCCAUUGAUAGCUUUGAUAAGUCAAAUAGUAAAAGUCACAUACAUGACAGAGCUGCUUUAAUGCCAAAAGGAUUUUAGUCCAGUUAGUUGGCUGCUCUUAUAAAGAACCCACCUUGACUAAAUAAAGACUUUGCUCGUCGAUGUGCAUCACUUUCAGGAGUGAAGUAUGUUAAUGGUUUCUUAAUAUAUUAGAUUGCCUUGCCCUGCACUAUACGAUUUAACUAACUUGCACCUUAUUUCACUCAGCAUACAUUCCACACUUUGCUUUGCUGGUAUGUAUGGAUAUUAAAAACUAGGCUAUCAUAGCUAAUAUAGAAAAUGUAUGCAUUUAAUUUCACCUAAAUUUAGCAAUUUUGUUUUUUGAGUUCAACACAAUUCAACCCCAUCAUAUUGACCAGAAUUAGGAGAUUUAGACCAGCCAAGUGUAAAGGAUAUGACAGAGUCUAUAUCUGAUUAAAACAUAACAGGAGGAAGUCAAUGUAACAAUAAUGUAGGUUGUUUUUUGGAGACAGGAUGUGUUGCAGUAUGUUGGAACCUAUAAGACACUCUGUGGGGUUCUGGCCUGCAGCUGCAAACACAGAACAGAUCUUACCGCAUUACACGUGUUUACAUUCAAUUUACAUUUGUACAGGCUAGGAAUAUGAUUUCCAUGUACAUUCAAAUACAAGGCGUUAUUUUACAAUACAAUUCUACAUUGAUUUUUGCUUUCAUACAUAAAAUUAACCGUUUUUUUUUGUUAGCUGGAAUGGUGUAUCAAGCAAUAUAUUCCAUCGCCAUUUAGGUAGGCAGCCAGGUGUACAUGUGUUGCUGAAACAUGUCUAUCACCUCUGGUGUUAUAGAGAUAUAAAUACAUUCCUUGUGCUAUGCCUUGGUUUCGGUUCAAUUUCCUUUAAUACUUGUUUAAUAAAUUAUAAUUGUCUUUAAAAAUUAACCACCAAAUCAGGUACAAAAAGAAAAGAAAUCGCAUUUAAAUGAAUAAAUGUUUCAGCACAAUUAUCUUACAAAUCUACAGCCUAAAGUUCACAUUUAGAAGAUGCACCAAAAGAUGGGAAUUAUAGGAAUUGUCUGCUUCUUGCUUCUACAUGUAUAUAUAUCUACAUACAUACUAUUAAUGUGCAGAUAUCGACAUAAAGGUUAUAAGGAUGAAGGAAUAGCCUUUGUGCAUGAUGUGGAUCAUGCAAAAAUUACCCAGGAUGAUGCCAUGUUCUCUCUUCUACAUCAGGCAUUUCAUGUCAAGCCAUAGUUUGUCCGUAGCACAGCAGGUUAGGAGCCAUGUUUUUUCGGUUGCAUUCUGUGUUGUUGUCCCCAAAUACCCUUUGUUUUCCAGUGAUCUUUAGUAAUCCUGUCUGCUGGUCAACAACUGGAUCAUUUCCCUGAUAUAUGUUGUUAUAUCUGUUGAUAUGCCAUCUUGGGGGAGGGAUUCAGAUUGGCAAUUCUCUGCAGAUAAGAAUGUGGGUAUGGGAAUUUCUUCCAGUAGAUGCAUGGAAUACAAGAUUCCACACCAGUAGAUACAUGGAAUACCAGAUUAUAUACCAGUGGAUACAUGGAUUACCAGAUUCUAUACCAGUAGAUUCAAUGAAUACCAGAUUCUAUACCAGUAGAUACAUGGAAAACCACAUUCCACAUCAGUAGAUACAUGGAAUACCACAUUCUAUACCAGUAGAUACAUAAAAUACCAAAUUCUAUACCAGUAGAUACCUGGAAUACUAGAUUCUAUACCAGUGGAUACAUGGAAUACCAGAUUCUAUACUAGUGGAUACAUGGAAUACCAGAUUCUAUACCAGUAGAUACAUGGAAUACCAGAUUCUAUACCAGUAGAUACAUGGAAUACUAGGUUCUCUACGUGGAUACAUAAAAUACCAGUUUCUGUACCAGUUGAUACAUGAAAUACCAGAUUCUAUACCAGUAGAUACAUAAAAUACCAGAUUCUAUACCAGUAGAUACAUGGAAUACUAGAUUCUAUACCAGUGGAUACAUGGAAUACCAGAUUCUAUACUAGUGGAUACAUAGAAUACCAGAUUCUAUACCAGUAGAUACAUGGAAUACCAGAUUCUAUACCAGUAGAUACAUUGAAUACUAGGUUCUCUACGUGGAUACAUGAAAUACCAGUUUCUGUACCAGUUGAUACAUGAAAUACCAGAUUCUAUACCAGUAGAUACAUAAAAUACCAGAUUCUAUACCAGUAGAUACAUGGAAUACUAGAUUCUAUACCAGUGGAUACAUGGAAUACCAGUUUCUGUACCAGUUGAUACAUGAAAUACCAGAUUCUAUACCAGUAGAUACAUAAAAUACCAGAUUCUAUACCAGUAGAUACAUGGAAUACUAGAUUCUAUACCAGUAGAUACAUUAAAUACCAAAUUCUAUACCAGUGGAUACAUGAAAUACCAGAUUCUACAUAAGUGGCUACAUGGAAUACUAGAUUCUAUACCAUAACACAACACAAUAAAUAUGAAAGCAGGGAUUUAUUCACAAAUAAACACAAUUUUACAGUAAGUUCUGACAUAGAAAAUAAUAUUUUCCUUAUUAUGUGUUUUUAUAUAUUGAUAAAAUAAACACAGAUGAUCCAUUCUUGCCAUGUUUUUCUUCUCCCACUUGCAUUUUUCACUGUCAGGUUCUGAAGUAACAUAAACCAUUUUAUGAAGGAACGGAAUCCGCCCCUUGUCUAUUACCGUUUAUAGCACUAUAUGAGCAUUCAUUUACUUCAUUUAUAAUUCACUCAGAUUUCUCAUAAACGGUUAAUAAACAUUUCCACUGUUCGCAUUAAAAGCAAUUAAACUUCACACAGCACUAUUCAAUUAAGGAUCCCCGCAUGAAGCAUUUAAUACUACGUCAAAUGCCAUUAUAGAUUUGAUUUUACAUUUCUCGGCAAGAUUAAUUUACUUUGCGAGUUGGUUGAAGAUGAAUGCAGUACAUUAUGAAUUUGAUGAAGAUGGAUUUUUAAUGGUGUCUCUGUGUAUGUUUAUUAGAGACUGCUAUGCUGUAAUUUAAUGCAAAAAACUGGAAAAACACCUACAAAGUACAGCAAUUCUUUAUUACCGUAUAUUUAUGUUAAUCAAAACCCCAAAGGGACCCUGGAAUUCAUGCAUUAAAUAGUAUAUAUUUAGCACUAGACAUCUACAUUGCAUUGAAGAAUGUCGAGUUAGAACUUUAAAGGUCAUAUCUAAAGAAUUAGGAGAGACCAAACUAUUAAGGAAUACAUUUAAAUGGAAAGUGUCAUUAAAUAUACAACCUUAGCCCUUUUUUAGAGCUUAAAAUUCUAUCUAUACAUUAUGCAAGCGGUUUUGCUAGCAAAUGUAUAGAUUGGGAGUAAGAAUACAUUUAGAAAUCGGCGGGCCAGAUAUGACAUGACAGUUUCCGUUUAAACGUUCUGUUUAACACAUCUCCCGACAGGUCUCCCUAUUUUGUCACAGAUCUUCCCUAGACAGGUAAUCUACUUGUAUGACAGAUCUUCCCCAACUAGUGACCUAAUACCAAAUGUGAAGCAGCUCUGGAAACAUUUCAGAUGUCUCUUUCUGCUACACCCUGGUGCAAUGUUUUCCAAACCAACCCUCAAGGCACACCACCAGUCCAAGUUGUGUCAGAGUAACAGCUGGAACAGAAUUGGGAAUUAUUAGAUAUCCUCUUAAGUUUCUUAUAGAGAGUGGCACUACGUUCUUUAACAUAAAUGUAAGCGUUAAUAGUGUGACUUUAAAGGCAUGCUUUCCUAUUUAUUCUAACAUUGAUAGGACCUGGUUAAACCUGCUCAGAGGUUUGUUUUGGCAACCAAACUAUUUUACAGGAUAUAUCCUGGUCUUUCAUCAUAGUUUUAAGUAAAAACACCUUUUUUGUGGUUAGCAUCCUACACAUACAUCGGGUAAUUCACUAAUGUCCAAAUUAUAUAGAAUCGAAAUCCAAAUGGCAAAAGUGGGGCAUAAAUAGAUAAUUCUGAAAAAUUCACCAGGUCAGCUAAUGUCACAUUUCGGUUAUUUUUAGCUUGAGUUUUGUAAUUUAGAUUUUAAUAUGCUUGCCACAGUUUAGUGAAUAAUUGUGUGGAUUUUCCAUAAGGUUUGAUUAAAUAAUUUCACAGAAAAAAAAGAAAAAACACACUGCUCCAGGAACACCGUUUUUAAAAUGGUGUAAAUGUAUAUGACUAGUUAAUCUAUAUCCUUCUGUGAACUGAUUCAUAGUCCAAAAAUUAUAAGAAUAUAUUGUAUUAAAAUAAUGAGUAUAUAUUGUAUAAGAGUUGAAAUUAUUAAUAGAUUAUUCAUGGAUUAAGGGGACACUAUAGGCAUGCAGACCACUUUGUCUUAAAGAAGUGAUCUGGGUGCCAUGUCCUUGUCUGCUCAACCCUUUAACAGUAAACACUGCCAUUUGGCAGGAACGGCAAUGUUUACAUUAAAGGGUUUAAAUGCCUCUAGUGGCUGUAAAUCUGACACCUACUAAAGGUGCUUCCACAGAAAUAACUCAGCUAUUUCAAUCAGACAGUCUCAUUGUCACAGUUCGGUGCUUCUUUGCACAUGCGCACUUACAUUCCAAAGCUUUCCUUGGGGAAAGCAUUGACUGGCUGAGAUCAUCUACACUGGUCAUCUCAGCCAAAAAGACAAAGCUUCCCCAUGGAGCCCAGCCUCACCCUUCCAGUCCUCCCACGGCAAGGGGGGCACUAGUAUAGAUAACAAUACUUUGACUGUUGAGUUUGCAUAACCCUCAUGUCAUAGAACUGGUGGGACCAUCCUGAAUUCAAGAAUCUGUGAAAUGUCCCCAAACAGUGCAUGGAAAGGACAUCAUUAGAUGCACAUGCACUGUGUUGAGUAAUUGCAGGGCAUUAAGCCCAAUGGUCAGAGCACGUAAGAAGCGCUGUGCACAUGGGCAACCUAGAAUAUGGCCAGCAAGCCUUGCAUACACACACAUCAGGCUAAUAAGCCCAAUUUUUAGUCAGGUCCAAACACUUUGGAGGUAAGCUGCCAUUCUGUGUCCCCAUCCCCGUCCUACCAAUGAUGGAAGAAAUUACUUUGUAAUGAAUUAAUAUAAAUAAUUUCAACUUGUAUAUGAGAAAUAUUUUUUCUUCUAAACUAUUAUCAUUAAGUAGCUAAAUACGCUUUUCACACUAACUAAAAAUGACACAUCAGACGCCUACAUUUCUACUUUUAAGCCUUCUUAAUGUAUGAUAUCAUAAAUCAUGAUAUCUAGCUAAUUUUGUUUACUUUUAAAAUACUAAAAUAAUCUAAGCAUCUUAACCCUUUAAGCACAGAGCUAAUGGUCCAACUUCUAAACCAAAACUAAAUUUAACAGUUUGUUCUAUUGUAAUUUAAGGUUUCUUUUUUUAGUGCCCCCAAGCAGAUUACUUGUAUUUUUAAAGGACAUAAAUACUUUAUCUUAAUAUACUAUAUGUAUACCUAAACAGCAUUAAGUGUGAACAGAAUAUUAAAACUGGGAAAGAAAUUUAAAAAAUUAUUUUUGCUUACAGUAAUUUGUAUACAUCCAGUGCGACAAAAGAAAAAUAACUUAAAUACAUUCACAUAUCACUCUUAGUUGUUAACUGUGUCAUAUGUCUAAGAACUAAAUUAAGUUUUGAUAAGUAACACUAACUCUAUACAAAUCCCAUUUUUAAAGCUAUCCCAGCACUACCACUAUAAAUAUACUAAUUCUUACUGUAUACCUACCCUUUCCUUAACCAACGCUUUACCUAGAAUUGCAUUAACCCUAAUCCUGAGGAAUUCCCUCUGCUACUAUCAGUACUGAUAUCAGCAGAUGGAUUUCCUAGCUAAAACAGUAGAGAGUGGUCUACUGGCUACCAUCUACUGGCUGUUUUCAGAAUGACAGGGAGAUCUCCAUGUCAUGCUGAACCUCCAGAUUGCUUUACCUGACGACCAUAAUGUAAUCAGUUCUGGGUAUCUGGCAAAGCUCGGCACAAAUCACAAUUGGCAGUGAUCUGUCCAGACACUGUGGGACUCCCUCAGACUGAUGGCAGCUAGAUAAUCAACAUGGCUGUGUGUGACGCUCUCAGCUGUUGUAAUGUCAAAGGAUUUAAAGAGCUGUAUACAGGGCUCAAAAUGAGCACUGCAUACAGCUCAUUAGUCAGUCUGGGUCCACUAAAUGUGGCCCCAGCUCACAGACAGGAGCCAAAGGUACUUAAAUAAAUAUACAAAUAGCUCUAUGCACUUAAUAUGGCCCCAGUUGACAUAGGGGCGCACCAGAUAUUGAUUGAUAUGUUGGACUCCCUGGUGUGAGCAGGGAUAUAACACUAACAACAAAAUUAUGUAGGACAUGCUUAGUAUGCUUUGUAGGACAUAAUGGCUUAAUGUCAUUAAGAGGUUAAAGAAUUGUCCUUUCUCUCAUAACAUUUAUGCUGUUAUAUAAAUACAUUUGUUCAAUAAAAGUACACUGUAUUUUAAUUAGUUUUAUUCCCAAUAUGAUAUUUAUUUUAACGUUUUACUGAAAGUAUACCAGGUAGAGAAUAUAAAAAAGAUGUGAAGGAAGGGGUGAGAGAACAAGAGCAAAAAAAGCAAAACAACAAAACAAACAAAAAAACCAUAAACCAAACAAAUUAAUUUCAAACAAAAUAAUAUAAGCCAAUGGUUACAAGUAUUUAACACUAUAUAUCAAAAAGGUACAUUUUACUGGAUUAUGGUCACAGGCGUGAACACGGGGUGUGCUGGGUGUGCCUGGCACACCCUAAUCCCCGCGGCACGCCUAUAGAGUGAGACCGGCAGGGGAUAUCUCAGGAUCUGCCCUGUCGGCUCAUGCAGAGCCGGCGCUAUCCGAGUGCCGGCUCUGCUCUCAGCCUCCAUCCCCACUGCAGCAUGGAGGGAGGCAGGAGAGGACCCGGGGAGCUCAACCAGCAGCUCUGACGGAUUCCUCUCGUGAGAUCUGAGCGUUGCCGCGGCAAUGCUCAGAUCUCGCGAGAGUGAACUUUAUCCCCACAGGGGCUAGAGUUCACUCUCCACUGGACCACCAGGGAUGGCAGCAGGAACAAGAAUCCUCCCUCCCUACAUAAGGUAAGAAGGGAGGGGGGAUAUUAAGUAAUGUACCCCCACCUCCACCCCCACAAUCACACACAUACAGCACACACACACAUACAGCACACACACCCACACACACAGCACCCACACAGACACACAGCACCCACACAGACACACAGCACCCACACACACACAGCACACACACAUACAGCACCCACACACACACAGCACCCACACACACACAGCACCCCCACACACACAGCACACACACAUACAGCACCCACGCACACACACAGCACACUCACACACAUACAGCACACACGCACACACACACACACAGCACACACAUACAGUACCUUCACACAUACAGCACCCACAUACAGCACCCACACACAGCACACACACACACACAUGCAGCACCCACACACACACAGCACACACACACAUACAGCACCCACACACACACCACACACACAUAGAGCACCCUCACACACAUACACCACACACACACAGCACACACAUACAUACAGCGCACACACAUACAGCACCUUCACACAUACAGCACACACAUACAGUGCACACACACAUACAGCGCACACAUACAGCACCCUAACACACAUCCUGCACACACACACAUACAGCACCCACACACAUACAGCACCCUCACACAUACAGCACCCUCACACACAUACAGCACACACAUACAACACAUACAGCACACACACAGCACACACAUACAGCACCUUCUCACAUACAGCACCCACACACAGCACACACAUACACCACCCACACACACACACACCCACACACACAUACAGCACCACACACAUACAGCACACACACACAUACAGCACUCACACACAGCACACACACACAUACAGCACACACACACACACACACACAGCACACACAUAGAGCACCUUCACACAUACAGCACCCACACACACACAGCACACACAUACAGCACCCACACACACACAGCACCCACACACAUACAGCACCCUCAAACACACAGCACCCUCUCACACACAGCACAGAAACAGCACCCUCACAAACACACACACAGCACCCUCACACACACAGCACACUAACAAGACCCUAACAAACACACACACACACAAACGCCCUCACACACACACAGCACACAAACAGAACCCAGAUAUUGAUUGAUAUGUUGGACUCCCUGGUGUGAGCAGGGAUAUAACCCUAACAACAAAAUUAUGUAGGACAUGCUUAGUAUGCUUUGUAGACAUAAUGGCUUAAUGUCCUUAAGAGGUUAAAGAAUUGUCCUUUCUCUCAUAACAUUUAUGCUGUUAUAUAAAUACAUUUGUUCAAUAAAAGUACACUGUAUUUUAAUUAGUUUUAUUCCCAAUAUGAUAUUUAUUUUAACGGUUUACUGAACGUAUACCAGGUAGAGAAUAUAAAAAAGUUGUGAAGGAAGGGGUGAGAGAACAAGAGCAAAAAAAGCAAAACAACAAAACAAACAAAAAAAACAUAAACCAAACAAAUUAAUUUCAAACAAAAUAAGCCAAUGGUUACAAGUAUUUAACACUAUAUAUCAAAAAGGUACAUUUUACUGGAUUAUGAUCAUAGGCGUGCACACGAGGUGUGCUGGGUGUGCCUGGCACACCCUAAUCCCCGCGGCACGCCUAUGGAGUGAGACUGGCAGGGAAGAUCUCAGGAUCUCCCCUGUCGGCUCAUGCAGAGCCGGCGCUAUCCGAGCGCCGGCUCUGCUCUCAGCCUCCCUCCCCAUUGCAGCAUGGAGGGAGGCAGGAGAGGACCUGGGGAGCUCAACCAGCAGCUCCAACGGAUUCCUCUCGCAAGAUCUGAGCGUUGCCGUGGCAAUGCUCAGAUCUCGCGAGAGUGAACUUUAUCCCCACAGGGGCUAGAGUUCACUCUCCACUGGACCACCAGGGAUGGCAGCAGGAACAAGAAUCCUCCCUCCCUACAUAAGGUAAGAAGGGAGGGGGGAUAUUAAGUAAUGUACCCCCACCUCCACCCCCCACAAUCACACACACACAUACAGCUCACACACACAUACAGCACAAACACCCACACACACAGCACCCACACAGACACACAGCACCCACACACACACAGCACACACACAUACAGCACCCCCACACACACAGCACACUCACACACAUACAGCACACACACACACACACAGCACACACAUAGAGCACCUUCACACAUACAGCACCCACAUACAGCACCCACACACAGCACACACACACAUACAGCACCCACACACAAACACCCACAGCACCCACACACAUACAGCACACACAUACAGCCCACACAUACAGCACACACACACAUACAGCACCCACACACACACAGCACACUCAAACACAUACAGCACACCCACAUACAGCACCCACACACAGCACACACACACACACACAUACAGCACCCUCACACACACAGCACACACACACAUACAGCACACACACGCACACACACACACAUAGAGCACCCUCACACACAUACACCACACACACAGCACACACAUACAUACAGCGCACACACAUACAGCACCUUCACACAUACAGCACACGCAUACAGUGCACACAUCCAGCACCCUAACACACAUCCAGCACACACACACAUAAAGCACCCACACACAUACAGCACCCACACACUUGCAGCACCCUCACACACAUACAGCACACACAUACAACACACACACAUACAGCACACACACAGCACACACAUACAGCACCUUCUCACAUACAGCACCCACACACACAGCACACACACACAUACAGCACACACACACAGCACACACACACAUACAGCACACACACACAUACAGCACACACACACAUACAGCACACACACACACACACACAUAGAGCACCCUCACACACAUACACCACACACACAGCACACACAUACAUACAGCGCACACACAUACAGCACCUUCACACAUACAGCACACACAUACAGUGCACACAUCCAGCACCCUAACACACAUCCAGCACACACACAAAUACAGCACCCACACACAUACAGCACCCUCACACACAUACAGCACACACACACACACACACACACACAUAGAGCACCCUCACACACAUACACCACACACACAGCACCCACAUACAUACAGCGCACACACAUACAGCACCUUCACACAUACAGAACACACAUACAGUGCACACAUCCAGCACCCUAACACACAUCCAGCACACACACACAUACAGCACCCUCACACACAUACAGCACACACAUACAACACACACACACAUACAGCACACACAGCACACACAUACAGCACCUUCUCACAUACAGCACCCACACACACACAGCACCCACACACACACAGCACCCACACACACACAGCACCCACACACACACAUACAGCACCCACACACACACAUACAGCACCCUCACACACAUACAGCACACACACACAUACAGCACACACACACAGCACACACAUACAGCACCUUCACACGUACAGCACCCACACACGUACAGCACCCACACACAUACAGCACCCUAAAACACACAGCACCCUCUCACACCCAGCACAGAAACAGCACCCUCACAAACACACACACAGCACCCUCACAAGACCCUAACAAACACACACACACAAACGCCCUCACACACACAUAGCACACAAACAGAACCCUCACACACAUCACACUUACAGCACCCUCACACACAGCACCCUUACUCACACACACACACACACACAACACCCUUACACACACAACACCCUCAAACCACCCUCACAGAGCACACACACACACACACACAGCAGUGUAUGUAUGUGUGUGUGUAUAUAUAUAUAUGUAUAUAUAUAUAUAUGUGUGUAUGUAUAUAUAUAUAUAUAUAUAUAUAUACACACAUACAUAUACACGCGGCGUGUGUUAGUGCUUUAGGGUGCACACCCUAAUGCAAUAGGCUGCGCACGCCUAUGAUCAUGAUGUCAGUACUAUGAAUAUACACCAUAAAAAUAAAUGUGACAUUAGAAACGGAAUGUGGAGAGCAUACAUCUGGGAAUAAGGAAACCACCUUUCUCUUUACGGUACAACUUGUGGGACAAAUUGGCCAGGGGCCACAAAAAGCAGAUUAAUAUGAACAUAUCUACUAAAGUUCUUAGUCUAAAAACACUAGAUGUCAAUAUACUAAGCGGAGAAUAAACCUUACCUUUUAAGCUUCAUUUAAAUACUAGAUACAGCACAGUAUACCCACGCUGUACCGUGCCACAAACUAAAAUAACUUGAUUUCUUUUAACCUUUAUUCAGUAAUCAUUUAAAUCUACCUCAUUUUUCAAUAAGAUCACAUCCUAAACUAACUCUAAAAACACAAUAUAUAUGGUAUAUAUGACUCAAAAAGAGUUUGUGAAAAGUUAAAGUUUACAAACAUUGGCUGUAUGAGAUGAUCAAGUACACAGGUUACAGAUCGUUUACACUAUAUUUAGAUACAUUGUGUAUUUGUAGUUCAAGAUAAUCACUUCGUCUAUAUUCCAUACUCUAGUGCAACGUUUUUUCUAGAGGAGUGGAACCUGCUAAAACAGUAAAAGAGAUACUUACUAUAAAUACAUAAAUGUGACCUUGAAAAAAGAUGACUAAACUAUAUCCAGGUGUCCACUUACUGUUAUUUGAGAAACAAAAACACACGUUAAAAUGUUACCCUUUCGCUUUGAUGGCUGAAUAAUCCACCUGAAUUUAUUGCCUAGUUUUGAGGACCUUUUUUUUUGUUUGCGUAUUACUGUGGAUUACCUUCUAGCAAAAGUACCAAAUUUAGAGUUUACCUUGGAGUGACUGCCACACUGUAUUUACUCAUCCACUUACUAUAGGAAAUGAAGUGUCAGUAGUAUGCAAUUUAAAACAAAUAUAUUUUGUCUUGUUAAUAACAUAAAAUACACUAUUUAGAUAUUCCCCUUGUUAAAAGUAUGCUUGUGUUUAAUUCUGCAUGUUUUGGAGGGGGGGUGGGGGGGGGUUAAUCUAAAAACAGAGUACAAAAGUUGCAGAUCUGUUGUCUGCAGCCUUUGCAAGCUCUCCCCUCUUUCUACUGCACAGACUUUCAGAAACUUCUCCAUGGACCUGACUGACAGCCCAGGAGGUGUUUCUAACCUCCAAUUAUAAAAGUGAUGAUUUUUAUGGAAAAUGGCUCUUUUAUAAUCAGCCAUAAAUAUGACAGAAUCCUGCCCAAUAAAGCAUUUCAGCAAGCCAAUGUGCUUUAAGUGUGUAAAGUGACCCUUUAAACUGAAAAGGUCAUUUGUGAAAUGGACAUUUACAUGGUGGCUCCACAGAGGAGCUAAGAAAGAUUACCAUGUUACCUGAAGCUCUGUUUCUCAAAGUUUAAUUUCUUCCUUUCUUGGCACAUCUGCAAGGAGCCAUGCCACUUGUCUACUCUUGGGUAUCCAUAUACACUCAUGCCAUGGGCAUCUUCUGUGAAUCAAGUGAUAAGGAACAUGCUCCCAUCAACCACUGCAAUCUACUUUACAUGGGAUAUAGCAAAACGUGACAGCAAAAGCUGCAUGAAGCUCCACCUGUAUCUUGACAAAAAGUAUUUCCAAUAAAAAAAGUUUCUACUUUUUUUUAUAUGUGUGUAACUCCUGUGGGGAGGGGGGUAACACCUAUUUAAAUUUAAAUACAAAAACACAGAGUAAAUCAGGAGUGUGAAGAGGGAGUAAAUGCCAGGUAUACCCAGUGUACUAAAAGUUUAGAACAAAGAAAAUCAUUUGAAAAUAAAGAUUCAAAACACAGGGCUAUCCCAACAAGGUCUUAAAAGGGGCUUGUCAAAGAGCCAUCUCCAUGGAGGAUAGGCCCACAUGCCUACGAACCUCAAGAACAGAAUUCACCCAAAAUGUCACUGACUCAGGGGCAUACCUAGAGCAUUUGGAACCGGGGGCAGGUCCUAUUUUUGGCACACCUCCCCUCCCCCCCACACACACACUUUAAAAUGUAAAAAACAAUCAAAAUUUUUGUUAAUGUAUUUAUCACUGAGCAGUGUUUGUGUGUUUGAAUGUUAGCAUGUUUUUGUAUGGAGUAUGUAUGAUUGAAUACAGCGGUGUGUUUGUAUGUAGUGUUGGCGUUUGAAUGCAAGCAUUUAUUUGUGUGUAGUGUGGGUUUCUAAUGCAGUGGUGUGGUUAUAUAUAAUGGUGGGGUUUGGAUGUCCUUCACUGUUUAGACACAUAUUUGGGUCUCCAGAGGAAGAAAGGAGAAUUUGGAGCUUCUCGAUAGUGGGCAUUGAUAGAUUUCCCACCCACCCCCAUUAUCGUUAACAAUCACUUAAUUGUUUUACAACAAUGGUGGUGGCAUUAGUAUAAGAGUUUGAGUUUUUAACUAGAAUCUAAUAAAAGUUAAGUUUUUUCUUUGUUCUAAACUUUCAGUACACUGGGUAUACCUGGCAUUUACUCCCUAGUCACACUCCUGAUUAACUCUGUAUUUUUGUAUCUACUUUUUUCUGAUUUCAAUAGAAUUUCAACACGCACUCCCUUUAAAAAGAUCAUAUUGUUAUGAAAAACUCAAAACUCACAGUGCAUUCAGAUUUAGUUUUCCUAGGCACAUUGCACUGCAAAUGAGGCUUGUGGUCAUCGGUAAGGAUGCCAAAAUGAUAUUUGUUGGGUCAUUACUUUGGAAAAACAGUCAUUUGCUAGGAAAUGAUGUCUGCUACAUAGAUGUGCUGCUUCAGUGAUAAAGAAAUUCAUUAAAAUUGCUUUAUUAUGAACUUCUGUACAAGACAAUCCAAUGCACAAUGUAUGAUAACAUGAUAUUAGAUUCAAAUAGAAAAUAUAUGUAAUCAAUAUCCAGAUUUAUUGGAAAUAGAAGUGUAUUUUUUAAUGUUAUUGUGCUGGUCUAUGUGAGCUAUAUUGUAUGUCAUUAUAACUUUAUAACUUUAUUAUAUGUAACUAUCUGGUGAUAAAUACACCAAAUAUUACUAUAACCAAUAACAUAUUCUUGCAUCCUGGUACAAUACUUUUACCACUUAUUCUCCUGCUGUAUGAAUGUGGGCUCCCUGAUGACAGAGGACACGCCAAGCAACAUAAUGGUGGGCAUCCCCCACAUUAUAAAAAUGGGCAAGUCGGCAGCAGCCCUGGUUCCUGAAGAUAAGUAGAUUCCCCUACAUGAUAGGACGAAUUGAUAUCUUUUGGUUGAAUACCACAUAUGGACAGCAGCCAUGGUUCCCACACACUGGGUGAGAUCUAAGCCAUGAUAUAUUCAUUCAAAGCAUUUUUUCUGCAACAAUCAGAACGUGUGUGUGCGUGUGUGUUGCAUUAUUCUCUGGCAUUUUUCUUCUUUUUGUAUGCAAUGUGAAUGCCUCCAUAUUUCAUUUAUUACGUACAGUAGAUCUUUUUGUUUACUGUGGUAUUGAAUUUAUUCUGCUAGCUUGCAAACUUUUAUUUUUCAUUAAAAAAAAUAAUAGAGAGAGAUUGUACUCAUCUAGCUUGCAUAAUAGAGUGAAUAACACUGUCAAGGGAAUUUAAUAUUUCAAAAUACAAUCACAAAUGUAAUUCCAGAGAACUUCAUUGCAACUUGAAUCAAUGUUUUGUUCUAUAUAUUAAGAUACAUAUAAUGUAUUCAGCAUUUAGGGAUUUAUAGAGAUUCUUGAUUAGAGUCAAUUAUAUAUAUGUAUAUAGUUAUAAUUAUAUAUGUAGUUUUCAGAAACUUUUGAAUAAUUUCACCCCGCUUUUAGGCACAAAAGUGUCUUGUCUAUAAAUUUUUCCAUUAAUGGUAUAUUUUUCCAUAUUUAUGUUAAUCCGUAUUGUUAUUAUUUUCAUGCCUUUUGCAACAUAUAGGCAUCAAUGUUAAUAUGUUGCUAAACACAAAUACACACACCAGUCAAGUCAUAAGACUUGCUUUUCCCACAGAAAUAUCACUUAAACUGUGCUCUGGGUAGCCAGAAUCCCUUGCAGUAGUGAGAGCACUGGUAAAGUGCUGAGGACAUCCCAACCUCCCGCUAGGGGAUGAUGCUCCCUAGAGAAGAAACUCUGAACCUGUCUGUUCUGGAAGUUGGCCAUCAUGUCAAUUUCUGGAAGACCCAUCUGUGAACCAACCACUGAAAGGCCCAUUUUGCUAGACACCAUUCUCCUGGCAAGAUUUUAUGUCUGCUCAGAAGAUAAAUUGCACAUAUCCCCAGAAGGUGAUUUUGUGUCCAUUUCAUGAGAGGAACCAUGAUACUCAUCACCCUCGGACUGUGAGUACCUCCUUGGUGGUUCACGUAUGCCACCACUGCAGUGUUGUCCACCUGUAGUUUCACCCAAUGGUGUCGGAUUCUUGACUUUAUAAUGGAAAAUUUAGAGGGAGUAUUGCGGAUAAAAGUGUCUAAGGAAGUUUUUCAAUAAUUAUCUGUGAGUUUGAGAGUAUGCAAACCAUAGUAGUGGAAGGUCCGGAAACACCGCUCAAUUACACUAGAGUACAAAAGCAGAGUUUUACAGGAGAGACUGAUAAAAUAAUACAAAUGAUUAAAACCAAUCUUGGACCACAAAGUAUAUGGAUAGUGUAGCGAACCACGGGUAACCCAACUGGUUACCUCCGCUAAUUCCUUAUCUCAGCCAGAUUGAAACCAUUAAAACUAUAAGCAUCCAUUCCCCCAGUAACCUGACGAAACAUAGUUCUGGGAGUCAACUGAUUUUAUUAAGGCCCCACACGGCUUGUAUGCACAGACCCCUAAACAUGGGGUCCCCAACACAACAUUGCAGGGUUUUCCUUCCCAGGGUCCUUUGUGCCUGAGAGAUAAUUGUGUAAGAAAAACCAUAAUUCAAUUAUCUCUCAGGUACAGAAAAACCUAUACAAAAUAUACAGUACCCCAAAAGUACCCCCAACAUAACUAGGAACCCCCACAACAGUUACAUCCCCGGAUAGCUGUGAUCUGAGAGUAUCACUCAGAUCUGUUUGGUAGAAUUGGAUUGCCACUGGGGUAAAGUUUUGACCAGCCAGAUACAAUGGGAUAGCCUAAAAUAGUUCCAGGGAAAUAGGUGCCCCAGCCGGUCUCUGUUCGGGGGUUCCUGUGUGAAAACCAUGGAAGGGAUUCUAUUGAUUUUGGUGUAUAAAUGCUCCCCCUAGUCGGUAGUUCCCACGUCGUUCACAUAGUUGGUCUAGAAAUAGUGGGCAGCAGUAUAACUUUUUAGCUGAAAAGAGUUCCAGGCAUUCGAUGACCAACUGCCACUGCCCACGUUCGGGAGACAAAAUGGCCGCCACUCUUUUGCCGACUAUGUGCAUUUGGUUAUACAAAAUGGCGGCCACCCAGGGGAAGCAUUUAUUAAUUACUUCCUUUGCAGUUUCGCACUUAAGUUACUAGGUGAGAACGUUCUAAUGGGGUACCAGGGUGGUCCUCAUUCGGGAGUCGAAUGUACAGUGUUCGGAUACUAUAACUCCGGAACGGAUAAAGGGUAAAACAUCAGAAAUUAGCUCCAUAGCGGUCAUGGCUAAGUACCGCUAAGGACUAUUUGUGUGUUUGGUUCAUGCAAAUGGCCGCUAGAGAGCUAGCGUUUGGUUCCAUUCACAUGAAGGGAAGGUGCCGAACCAGGGACACCCAGGGCAAGCUACUAAUGGAGGAUGAGCAGUUUAACUACCAAACGGUGUCCCAGACCUGGACCAUAGUUGGUGGGCAGGAGGCUGUAGCCCACACUUCUUCAGGAGUCAUUGGCAAACGUACAUGGGAAGGAGCGUUUGUCACAGAUAGGUACUAGCUCCACUUUAAACAUCUAUAUUGUUCGUCAAGGGAAUAUGAAAGGAUUUAAGUAAGAAGUGAUAUAGGAUGAUAGAUCUUUUUUAGUAUAGGUAUGACAAAAAGGCCUGAUAAGGUGAGAGGGAAUGGGAUGAAGGGAGUUGAUGUUGAGCGUUUCUUAAAAAAAAACUAUCAUGAUUUUAUUAAUAGGAUUUACAGUCAUACUUGUGGCAAGUGAACCAUGAAACAGAAUAUUAACAGGAAAACGUGCUUCUAUUACGAUGUUGGAAAAUGUAUUAUUUUCUCAAAGGUGCAUUACUGCAUACAGGAAUGUUAUUUUGCAAUAUUUAAUUUGGCUUUGUUGGGUGUUUUAUAAUAAUUAGAUUUGUGCAGUACGCCCAUCCUUUCUGCUCCACCAUAACAACCUAUGGAUUUUACUAUUUGGCUCCAAAAUUUCAGACUAAUACGUCAUAACCAGCUGUUAGCUUUCUACAAUAGAAAGUUUCUUAUUGAACUGGACCUCCCAGAACCCCUUGCUCUGCUGAUUUGCCUAUGGGAAACAGUGCUACAGAAAGUUAAGUAAUUAUUGUGAUUAGAGUCUCUUCCAGGAAGUUCAAAUGUGAUUUUCAAUUUUUAAUUACUAUUAAUUUGUUAUUUGCAUUUAUUUUUUUACUUUUUAUAUGGGACAUAGAUGUCAUGCCCCUUUUAAUUAUAAGAUUUUGUAGCUAUUGUAAAUGUUUUGGUGAAAAUCAUGGGAUUUGCUUAUACACAUGUUCAGUGACCGACUAAAAGCGUAAAUCUCUCCGCUAUGUAAUAGCGGAGACUGGGCAGGUAGCACAUUUGCUGAGCUCCCUAUUGUAUAUAUAAAGUGCUUUUAGCAUAUGGAUUAACAGCAUUUGGUUUAAUUAUUCAAUGGUCCUGCUGUGUAAUACCACAGUAAGUAAGCUGCAUUAUUGAUAAACUUGAAAACGUUUAAUUACACAUAAUACAUAUACAUUAGUAAGUAAACAGUGAUUCAUUUCUGUCCAUAAAAUAAUUUUCAAAAAUGUUAGUACUACUAGAUUGUGUUUCUAAUUUAAAGUAGGGGUUGGGGACCUAGCAUUGCCAAAUCACAAUAUUUACGAAGACAAGACAGUAGCUUUGAGAUUAUUGUCUGUGAUUAUUUAAUUGAUUUUACUUGAACUCUUUGCCCUAUACCCCAACAUCAUAAAGUAACUUAACAUCCCUAAAUGGACAGUAGAGAGAGACUGGCACUACCAGGCUGCAAAUUUUCACUAAAUACAUUUAUUUAUUAUUUAUUUAUAAAAUAUUUUAUUGGGAAUUUGUUGGGAAUUCAGAGCUAAUUCAAAGUGAAUUUCAAAUUUUGUGCCUAGAGAGCUGAAUUUGAAAAAUUCUCCAACUAUGUAUUAAGUUCAUAUAUUUUGGCCCAGAAGUUAAAAGUUAAAGGGUUCACCAAUCAUAACUACUAUAGCCUGCUCUAUGGUUAUGUUGUUAGGAGAACCGUGGCACCAUUCCCCCAUAAUAGGGCAAACUAUUUAGCAAUGGUCCCCGCCAGUGCUUGGCUUCAAGUCCUGCUGCGUGAUAUGCAUCUGACUUACACCGAGCUGUAAAAGCCAGAUCCCGAUCCCACCGCUAAGAGUGUCAGCUGAGCACCGAACGAAUGACCCACUAUACAUAGAAAUAUUCAUGAACAAAUGAUGCUGCCAGAGGUGGAGUUACAUUAAAUAUCUCUGUAUGUGCAGCAUUUCAUACUGAACUGCACUUACAGACUCCACGCACCAUGACCACUUCAAAACACUGAAGUGGUCAUGGUGCUUAGAAUUACCCUUUAACUUUGAAUUCACUUCAACUUCUAUGAUGAAACAGAGCAUUAAGCUGACGUGUUAAUAUUAUUGAGUAAUCUUAUGACCACUGUAAGGAUAAGAUUGCAUAUUGGAACUCUAGUGAUCCAAUCUAUUUGUGAUUAUUUGAAAAAUACCUUGCCCCAUCCUAAGCACAUUUCUAAUCUCCAUCUGUGUUUUUGGCUAUAUAACACAUUAAAUAUUUGUAUACUUACACAGAAAGCUAUAUUAUAUAUCCCUGGAUUGAAUAGAACCGUUAAUGCUAUUUUCCAUUUAAAGAAUCAGCUACUUGCUACUGUUUGGAUUCCAAAAACUAGAUUCUUUAUUAUAUUUUGAGAUGCCGUGGGCAAGAAAGUUUUUAUCCUUCUGUAGUUUAAAGAGCGCUUUUCUCAGGAUUAACAAAAGAAUUCCUGGCAUCCCUUGCAUUAAAAUAUUUCACAAGCUAAGUCACAAAAAGGUUUAUAUGGAUUUAAUGUGUGAAGACCACUAUUCUAAUGCAAAGGCCUUUCGCAACACUGCAACACGUGAUACAUUGGGUUUGUCCGAAACAAUUGAACCAGCAGUAAACAUUUUGCAGAUAAUUCUGUGACCAGCAUCUCUAUUCUAAUGUUUAUGUGUAUUCCAAAAGUGCAUUCCUCCUGCAUAACAACCAUUGUAAAGAAAAUGAAAAAACAAAUGAACUCUAGGCACAGUGCCGUUUGGUAGUUUAGACAAUUUGCCUUCACUUUUCUAUCUGUGUGGUGGCUUGUACUAAGUUCUGCAAAAAGGAUCUAGAUGUGUACUGUAAAAUGUGCUUUCAUUUUGAUUUCACAAUAAAAUAAACAGAAAUACAAAGUCGUCCUUAGAGUAGCCAGAAAAACGCAAAUAUCUUUACGUUAACUCAAGGAGGGCAAAAGUAUGUAAGCAACAUUUUGAAAAAAAAACUAUACAAAAUUAUUGUUCCUAAGAUACCAUAUAUAUAUAAUGUACUCGGUCGGAGUACGGGGAGUUCCGUUACAAUAUGCUUAUAUAUCAUUACAAACAGGGCCGGCGCUACCUGUAAGGCGGACUAGGCAGCCGGGGGAGGGGGCGCCGCCAGGAGCACCGGCCCCGCUCAUGCUGCAGCCGCCCGAGCACUCUGUAAAGAGCCUCAGGCGGCUGCAGCUUUGCCCGGGCGGUGCGUCCAUGAGGGCGGUCCACACAGCCCGGGCGCAGCAUGGGGAGAGGGGCUGACAGGAGGGAAGCGCUCAGCGCUCCCUCCUGUCACUCCCUCUCUGUAGCGUGGCCGAGCUCUGUAUAGUCGGCGGGUACAGGGAGCAUCUGUCUCCUGUACCCGGCCGGACUAACAGGAAGUGCACACUGAGUGUGCACUUCCUGUUAGUCCGGCCAGGUACAGGAAACAAAAGCUCCCUGUACCCACCGACUAUACUGGGCUCGGCCACGCUACAACACAGGUAGGGGAGGAGGGAGAAGAAAGAGGGGGGGGGAGAAAGAAACAGGGAGGGAGGGAGAAAGAAACAGGGGAGGGAGGGAGAAAGAAACAGGGAGGUGGGGGAGGGGGGGAGAAAGAAACAGGAGGGGGGGAGAAAGAAACAGGGAGGGAGGGAGGGGAAGAAAGAAACAGGGAGGGAGGGGGGGGGAGAAAGAAACAGGAGGGAGGAGGAGGGGGGGAAAAACAGGAGGGAGGGGGGGAGAAAGAACAGGGAGGGAGGGGAGAACAGGAGGAGGGGGGGAGGAAGAAACAGGAGGGGGGGAGAAAGAAACAGGGAGGGAGGGGGGGAGGGGGGAGAAAGAAACAGGAGAGGGAGGGGGAGAAAGAAACAGGGAGGGAGGGGGGGAGAAAGAAACAGGGAGGGAGGGGGGGAGAAAGAAACAGGGGGAGAGAAACAGGAGGGGGGGAGAAAGAAACAGGGAGGGAGGGGGGGAGAAAGAAACAGGGAGGGAGGGGGGAGAAAGAAACUAACAGGGAGGUGGGGGAAAGAAACUAACAGGGAGGGGGGAAGACAUUGACAGGGAGGGGGAGUGACAGGGGAGGGGGAAUGAGAGUAACAAGGGAGGGGGAGAAGAGAGUGACAAGGGAGGGGGGAGAGAUUGACAUCCAUUACACACACACACAAUCACACACAAAGACAAUGAACCCCUUGCACACAGAAAAACACACAAUGCAUUACACACACGCAAUGCAUUACACACACGCAAUGCAAGCCUUACACACAAUGCAUCCCUUACACACACAGAAACACACAAUGCAUUCCUUACACACACUCAAUGCAUUCCUUACACACACUCAAUGCACCCCUUAAACACUCACACACUUCAUCCCUUACAUACACAGAAACACACCUUGCAGCCCUUACACAUACAAACACAGAUUCACACAAUGCAUUCCUUACACACAAAUCAGGACAUCCCCUACACACUCCACCCCCUGUGAACAAACUCAUUGGUGGAACAUGAAGGUGGACCCUGGGACCCAGACCUUGAGCUGUGUAAAGUGCCCCCAAAAAAUGGAGCUGCUUCUCGUUCUCCCAGAACAUAGAUUUUUGUGACCACAGUUACAAACAGCCUCCAGAGAUCCUGUUCUACACCAGACCAGUGGAGCCAGACUGCAGCUAGAGCCCAUCAUCAUCCUCAUCUGCUUGUACGUAGGUAAUCUAGUAUAUUAUUCGUGGCACUAAUCUCUAAUUUACCUCACAUUAAAGAAACACUAUAGUCCCCAGAACCACUGCAGCUUAAUGUAGUGGUCCUGGUGUCUAUAGCCUGUCCCUGCAGGCCUUUUAAUGUAAACAGAGCGGCACUGCAGCACUAGCGUUAGUUAACAUGGCAGGUCAUAUGGGUGGGGCAUUGUGAUGUCACGGGGGGGGCGGCAAACUUUACUUUUGCCUAGGGCGGCAAAAAUCCUUGCACCGGCCCUGAUUACAAACUUGUAAGUGCAAUUUAUUACAGUGCAGAAUAUAAGUAUAUACCAUCUACACUUAUUUUGGUUUAUCUUAUUUUUCUCCUACAUGCCCACGCUCUCAUGUUGAGGACCUCAUAUCAUCUUCUUACUAUUGAGAUAUGUCUACUAUCAAUAUACGUUUGUGAGUGCAACCUAUAAAAUUGGUGUAUUUCUGUAUAAUUAUUGUACUACUCUAUGAGUUUUUUCAAAAUGUACCUCAAUUUAUGUUGCAUGCCCUGCCUCCUGAAUAUAGCUCUGCCCUGCACACAAGCCCCAUCCCCACACAUGUUGUUGACCUCACUGGAAGGAAGAGGCCACAAAAUGGCAACUUCACCUACCAGUGCCAGGUGAGCUUCAGCCAUGACAGUGAUUGUGUGUGUGUGUGCCUGCUAGUGGGUGAGCUUGUGUGUGUGUGUGUGUGUGUGCGUGCCUGCUAGUGAGUAAGCUUGUGUAUGUGAAUGCCAGUGAGUGAACUUGUGUGUGUGCCUGCAAGGGAGUGAGUUUGUGUAUGUGUGUGUGUGUGUGCACCUGCUAGUGAGUGAGCUUGUGUGUGUGUGUGCUCCUGCUAGUGAGUGAGCUUGUGUGUGUGUGUGUGUCAGCUAGUGAGUGAGCUUGUGUGUGUGUGCGCGCCUGUUAGUGAGUGAGCUUGUGUGUGUGUGUGUGUGUGUGCCUGCUAGUGAGUGAGCUUGUGUGUGGCUGUUAGUGAGUGAGCUUGUAUGUGUGUGUCAGUGAGCUUGUCUGUAGUGAGCGUGUGUGUGUGUCAGUGAGCUUUUCUGUUGGAAGCAUGUGUGUGUAUCAGGGAGCUUGUCUGUUGAAAGCAUGUGUGUGUGUCAGUGAGCUUUUUUUGUAGGGAGCAUGUGUGUGUCAGUAAACAUGUCUGUGAUGAGCAUGUGUGUGUCAGUGAGCUUGUCUGUGGUGAGCAUGUGUGUGUCAGUGAGCUUGUCUGUGGUGAGCAUGUGUGUGUCCGUGAGCUUUUAUGUAGGGAGCCCUGCCAUUCACUACAUUAGCUCCCAUAACUAUUUACUACUAUUCUACACUACUUAUUUACCAUUAAGGACAUUUUGAAAAAUUAAUGACAUCAUUUAGGCGCCAAAUUUAAAAUGGGCAAUGCCUGCAUUCCCUUUAAAAACCUGUACCUGCCAGGUUAGACUCUUCUAUCUCCACUUGAAAAAAAAAAGUGAAAUGCGUUGUGGAUAUUUUAUAUUGUUUAUUUUAUAUUGUAUAUCAAUAAAGGUAUUUUGGCUACUUCUUAUUGUGAGUCUGCCAUUUUACAUUUUUAUUUAUUACUAUUUUAUAUUUUUUACAUUCUACCUGGCAUCCGAUUUUACUGUUUCAGUGAGGACUAUGCUCAAAGAAUACAAGGUGGGGAAUUAUACCACUUAUGCCUAUACAUUGAGCAGUCUGCCUGCUCAAUCAAAUGUAAGUAACCAUUCAUUAUUUUAUACUCCUGGUACCUUUUAUACUGUGAGCACUAUUGUCAUCUCUUUUAUACUUUUAUAUGUACCACUGUAUGCUAUUCAUACUAGAGCUGGGUUUAAGCUCUAUCAAAUGUGAGAAGGACUCACUUCUGGGAUAUCUGUACCAUUUCUUUUCUCUCUGUUUUUAUAUAUACGGCUCCAAAUGAUACCCUGAUCUGGCUCUUUCAUAGAAGAAUUUCCCUGACAGAACUGAGGCUAUAUCUUCUGGCAAGUUUUAUAUUGGGACUUUAUAGUGGACAUUUUAUUUUUAUUCUUUUUUGGUUUCUUAUUCUUUUGCAAUAUUUUUACUUAUACUAGUGUUUUUUACUAUUUUGGAACUACCUCCAUUCCCCUUGUUUGUACUAGUUUGAGAACUGAUUUAACUACACACAAAUUCCGCUCUGCAAUCAAAGCUGAAAUUUCUGUAUUUUAUCUUCAAAUUCAGGAAACAUGUAGCAACAUAUAGAGUUAGACAAGUUUUUAAAUAUGGUAAAUGAUAGUGAUGCUGUCAAAACUAAAAUUCAACUUAACUUAAAUUUAGCUAAUUUCCUUAAGCAUAUUUUGUUUUGCAUCUCAAACGUUGUUUUUAAAUUUACCUCAAUCGCAUUUAGUAAAGAAACCCCUUAUGCUAUAUAUUUUAUUGAAAAUGUAUGAGAAAGUACCAAUUUCGAUGUCAUUGUUCACCCAUGAAAGACAAGUUUAAAUCACUGUAGAGUUUAAAGGCAAAAUAAAGAUUAAAAAAUCACUGUUUAGCAAAUAUACCUCAGAUGAAAUCAUCUAUGCAUUUAAUUAUGCAUUUUUCAUUGGGGUAUAUAUAAAAACAGCUUGCAAACAUUUUCUCAUCUGAAUACUUUGCAACUCCUCCUCUUCUAACCCCACCCAGACUUUCUGUGGCUGUCCAAUCACAGACUUCCCAAUGCAGCUCAAUGAGAAGUUUUUGCAAGGCAGGUGCUCUAGGUAAUUGCUGCCUCUUGAAUUUAGCUCCACUGAGCUAACCAAACCAGGAAGUAACAGGUUAUACGACUGACAGCCAGGGGGCUGGUAACAAUGUUAAUUUAUAAAUAUAUAUCUUGUAAUUUACACUUUUAGUAAAAUGAAGAAGAAAAAAGAAAAAAAAGAGGACACUUCACACAUAAGGCACUUCAGUAAGCUAAAGUAUUUUAGGGUUCUGGAGUGUCCCUUCAAUUGCAAACUACAUACAUUCUGUGCUGUGCAAUAUAGAUUAAUUCCAUAUUAGAAAACAGGAGGAAGAUCUGCUCACAAUACAUCACUCUGCAGCUAAGUAGUAGGCAGGAUUAAAACAUGAUGCCAUAGUUUUUAUAAUCAUUAGAUGAGCUAUUCCAUGACGCCUGGAUACAGCAAUUGCUGCAGUGGCAUUAUGUCAUUUAGCGUGACGUCCUUAGGAGCCAGUGAUAGCUAAAAUUUCUCAUCUUAUAAUCAAAGCGAGAAAUAAAGAAAUCGCAAUGCAACUCCUUCCCCCCAAAAAACACAGUUCAGUUAUCCUCCUCUACCCGUCGUCACCCAGACUUUCUCUGCAAUCAUCUUGCCAGCAAUAACCCUUCUUUGUGUCAGAGAAGCAAUAAAGCUUCUUUGUGUCAGCUGAUAAAUUACAAUCCAUUCACAAAAAUGGUAAUUUGUAUUUACAGCUAAUAUAUCUUCAGCAUGAUUGUCAUUUGCUACAAGCCACAUUAUAAAGAUACAUUGCUCACGCACAGUUGUGUAGGUGUGUCUGUUUUGUAAAAGGAUGCAAUUAUACAUUAAAAGAUACUGGCAUUUGUCCAUCAUACUCAUUAAAGGGAUACUAUAAGUACCAGGAAUACAAAGCUGCAUUUCUGGCACUAUAUCUUCCUCUGCCUCCCCCUCCCUUGCACCCCCCACCGCAGUAAAUAAAGGGUUCAAAACUCUUUAUUUACUUACCUGAUCCCAGCACCAACAUCCCUCAGCGCUGGAUCAGAGCUCUGCCUCCUCCUCCGUCCCCCGACGAGUAGACGCUAAUGUGCAUGCGCAGGAUUAAAUCAAUGCUUUCCUUUGUGGAAAAAUCUGACACUGUAUAUCCUCAUGCAGAGCGUGAGGAUGUCCAGCUCUGAUACGGGACCAAAGGUCAGUUUGGAUGCAGGAAACACAGUGUGAAGCACCUACAUUCAAUGUAUGGAGAUGCUAAAUAAUCCCCAUACAUGCAAUGUAUCUCUACAAAUAUAUGCUGAUUGGUGCAGCACAAUGUUUUGCUGCACAUGAGCAAAAGCCUCAGCAUUGGAUUGGCUGUGAUCAUUAAGAUUGAUUAUCUCAGCCAUAGAGGCGGGGCCAGCCGCGGUAAGAGAGAAAUGGUAGCUUAAUACCUUUUUAACUCCACAGAGAGGGGAUCGGGGACCUAAAUAUGUAUCCCAGCACUAUAGUGCUAGGAAUACAUGUGGGUUUUCCUAACCCUAUAGUGUUCCUUUAACAAUUCAAUAAGAGUAUUUAGAAUGAUUAAUUAGAGUUGAUCACAGAGGCGUAGCUAGGUCAUUUGACACCCAGAGCAGAAAUCUAUGCUGGCAUAUACAGUGACAUGCAUGCAUUCAUAGAUAUGCAAUCAUACAUGCAUUCACACAAUCACCACAUAACAUAUUACACGAUUAUACACAAUCACUUACACAUUCAUAUACCAAGACACACAGUCGCACACUGUCAUGUGCACACGCACAUAGUCAAACAAAUAUACACAGUCACAGGCACACAGUCAUAUACACACAUACAGGGUCGCACAGCUUCAUAUAGACAGUCACACGCAUACAUUACAUACCAUACAAUUACACAUGCAGACACAUGCACACAGUCGAACACACCACACACAGUCAAUGGCACACAGUAAUUCUUAUAGUUACAGACACGCACACAAUCACAGGCACAAAUAUAGUCAGAGUCACUCUUACAUAGACACACACAGUCACAGGCAUUCUGUGACGGUUCCGGAACCAAACACACGGACAGAUCACGAGAGGAACAAUUGCAAUACUGGUACUUAGAGUGGCAGGGCUAUGCAAAAGGAGAAAGGUCAGUGUACAAGCCAAAGUCAAAGGAUUAUAGAUAUAUGGAGACAAGUCGAGGCCAAGGAUCAGAGAAGACAGAGUAAACAAGAGACAAAGCCGCAAGUGACGAGCAGGCACUAGAAGAUGCCGCUCGCUGUGUGCGUGUAAGGGAAGCUGUCGCAAGCGACAUACGUGUAAGUGAAACUGCCGCGAGCGGCAUGGUUGCAGGGGGCCUGACACAUACACACAGUCACAGACACAAAGUUACAGUCACAGACACACACACAGUAACCAAUUAUGCCUCAUUGGUCCAGGGGAAGAAUAAAGAUCAAAGCACCUACCCUGCUGUCUAGUGGUUGGGGAAGAGACUGUUUCCUGCUUCCCCCCAGUAUGCAGCCAUUUUAAGUAUGCCAUAAAGACAUGGCUGGGGCAAGUCUCUGUGGUGCUUGCUGCUUCAGUGGGGCUAGUCCCUCUUCAUCCGGCGCCCAGGCAAAACUUGAACUAAAGACAGGUAAAAAGACAGGUAACGGCAAGUUAUCUUUAUAGUGACCCAAGCUAAGGUACUUGCAUGUAAGACUUUAAAACUACAUUGUUUGAGAAUGUUAAAAAAAUGGAGCAAGCAAAAUCAUCUCAGCAAGACACACUAGCCAUUUGUCAGAUGAAGAAACUGACAAUUAACCCAACACCAAACUUAACCCUUAAAGUAGAUGAGAAAAUAUGGAUACAUGUGGAAAACAAACACAUACGUGAAAAAUGGAAGAAACAAGCUUAUAAAAUAAGCAUUAUAACAUACGUGUACUGCUUAAAACACCGAAAAGAAAGAGAAAAAAUUGUCUUUGAAAAAAACAUCAGCAUCCAUUAAAGUGCUCGAACAGCAAAUAUUCCUAAAAAUCGCUGCUUCUGCUGUAUUGUUUAUGUUUAGUGAUGUCCCGAACGGUUCGUGAAUAGUGAUGUACCGAACGGUUCGCUGGCGAACGGUUCCCGGCAAACAUAGCAUGUUCGCGUUCGCCAUGGCGGGCGAACAUAUGCGCGGUUCGACCCGCCCCCUAUUCGUCAUCAUUGAGUAAACUUUGACCCUGUACCUCACAGUCAGCAGACACAUUCCAGCCAAUUAGCAGCACACCCUCCCUAGCAGACCCUCCCACCUCCUGGAAGGCAUCCAUUUUAGAUUCAUUCUCAAGCUGCAUGCUUUAGUAAGAGGAGGGAAAGUGUAGCUGCUGUUCAUUAGAUAGGGAAAAGCAUAGCUAGGUUAGGGUUAGGGUAUGCUUUUUUUUGAUUUUUUUUUCUAUGUAAUGUAAUUGCACUUAGUUGUCUGCCACUGCUGCCAGCUUCUGUGUCAGGCUCACAGUGCAUACUGUGCCCAUUUCCCCAGUCAGUGCCACCACUUACAUCUGGUGUCACAAUAGCUUGGAUUUAAAAACAAAAAACUUUUUUCACUGUUAUAGAUGGAAUAGCAGUCAGUUGCAGUCAGUUGUCUGCCACUGCUGCCAGCUUCUGUGUCAGGCUCACAGUGCAUACCGUGCCCAUUUCCCCAGUCAGUGCCACCACUUACAUCUGGUGUCACAAUAGCUGUGAUUUAAAAACAAAAAACUUUUUUCACUGUUAUAGAUUGAAUAGCAGUCAGUUGUCUGCCACUGCUGCCAGCUUCUGUGUCAGGCUCACAGUGGAUACUGUGCCAAUUUCCCCAGUCAGUGCCACCACUUAUAUCUGGUGUCACAAUAGCUUUGAUUUAAAACAAAAAAUUUUUUUCACUGUUACAGAUUGAAUAGCAGUCAGUUGUCUGCAACUGCUGCCAGCUUCUGUGUCAGGCUCACAGUGNNNNNNNNNNNNNNNNNNNNNNNNNNNNNNNNNNNNNNNNNNNNNNNNNNNNNNNNNNNNNNNNNNNNNNNNNNNNNNNNNNNNNNNNNNNNNNNNNNNNUUAUAAUGGCUAUCAAUGUGUGUGUGCUUUAUACUGUCUGUAUUAUAUAUAUUAUGGCUAUCAAUGUGUGUGUGCUUUAUACUGUCUAUAUUAUAUAUAUUAUAAUGGCUAUCAAUGUGUGUGUGCUUUAUACUGUCUGUAUUAUAUAUAUUAUGGCUAUCAAUGUGUGUGUGCUUUAUACUGUCUAUUAUAUAUAUUAUAAUGGCUAUCAAUGUGUGUGUGCUUUAUACUGUCUAUUAUAUAUAUAUUAUAAUGGCUAUCAAUGUGUGUGUGCUUUAUACUGUCUAUUAUAUAUAUAUUAUAAUGGCUAUCAAUGUGUGUGUGCUUUAUACUGUCUAUAUUAUAUAUAUUAUAAUGGCUAUCAAUGUGUGUGUGCUUUAUACUGUCUAUAUUAUAUAUAUUAUAAUGGCUAUCAAUGUGUGUGUGCUUUAUACUGUCUAUUAUAUAUAUAUAUAUAUUAUAAUGGCUAUCAAUGUGUGUGUGCUUUAUACUGUCUAUAUUAUAUAUAUUAUAAUGGCUAUCAAUGUGUGUGUGCUUUAUACUGUCUGUAUUAUAUAUAUUAUGGCUAUCAAUGUGUGUGUGCUUACAUUGUCUAUAUUAUAUAUAUUAUAAUGGCUAUCAAUGUGUGUGUGUGUGCUUUAUACUGUCUGUAUUAUAUAUAAUAUAAUGGCUAUCAAUGUGUGUGUGUGCUUUAUACCGUCUGUAUUAUAUAUAUUAUGUAUUAAUAAAUGUGUGUGUGCUUUUAUAUUGUCUAUAUUAUAUAUAUUAUAAUGUAUAUCAAUGUGUGUGUGCUUUAUACCGUCUGUAUUAUAUAUAUAUUAUGGCUACCAAUGUGUGUGUGCUUUAUACUGUCUAUUAUUAUAUAUAUAUUAUAAUGUAUAUCAAUGUGUGUGCUUUUAUACCGUCUAUGUUUAUAUAUAUUAUAAAUGGCUAUCAAUGUGUGUUUUAUACCUCACCAUUAUAUAUAUAUUAUAAUGGCUUAUCAAUGUGUGUGUGUUUUAUACUGUCUAUUAUAUAUAUAUAUAUAUUAUAAUGCUAUCAAUGUGUGUGUGCUUUAUAUUGUCUAUAUUAUAUAUAUUAUAAUGGCUAUCAAUGUGUGUGUGUGCUUUAUACUGUCUGUAUUAUAUAUAUUAUGGCUAUCAAUGUGUGUGUGCUUUAUACUGUCUGUAUUAUAUAUAUUAUGGCUAUCAAUGUGUGUGUGCUUUAUAUUGUCUAUAUUAUAUAUAUUAUAAUGGCUAUCAAUGUGUGUGUGCUUUAUACUGUCUGUAUUAUAUAUAUUAUGGCUAUCAAUGUGUGUGUGCUUUAUACUGUCUAUUAUAUAUAUAUUAUAAUGGCUAUCAAUGUGUGUGUGCUUUAUACUGUCUAUAUUAUAUAUAUUAUAAUGGCUAUCAAUGUGUGUGUGCUUUAUACUGUCUAUUAUAUAUAUAUUAUAAUGGCUAUCAAUGUGUGUGUGCUUUAUACUGUCUAUUAUAUAUAUAUAUAUUAUAAUGGCUAUCAAUGUGUGUGUGCUUUAUACUGUCUAUAUUAUAUAUAUUAUAAUGGCUAUCAAUGUGUGUGUGCUUUAUACUGUCUGUAUUAUAUAUAUUAUGGCUAUCAAUGUGUGUGUGCUUUAUACUGUCUAUUAUAUAUAUUAUAAUGGCUAUCAAUGUGUGUGUGCUUUAUACUGUCUAUUAUAUAUAUAUUAUAAUGGCUAUCAAUGUGUGUGUGCUUUAUACUGUCUAUUAUAUAUAUAUUAUAAUGGCUAUCAAUGUGUGUGUGCUUUAUACUGUCUAUAUUAUAUAUAUUAUAAUGGCUAUCAAUGUGUGUGUGCUUUAUACUGUCUAUAUUAUAUAUAUUAUAAUGGCUAUCAAUGUGUGUGUGCUUUAUACUGUCUAUAUUAUAUAUAUUAUAAUGGCUAUCAAUGUGUGUGUGCUUUAUACUGUCUAUUAUAUAUAUAUUAUAAUGGCUAUCAAUGUGUGUGUGCUUUAUACUGUCUAUUAUAUAUAUAUUAUAAUGGCUAUCAAUGUGUGUGUGCUUUAUACUGUCUAUAUUAUAUAUAUUAUAAUGGCUAUCAAUGUGUGUGUGCUUUAUACUGUCUAUAUUAUAUAUAUUAUAAUGGCUAUCAAUGUGUGUGUGCUUUAUACUGUCUAUUAUAUAUAUAUUAUAAUGGCUAUCAAUGUGUGUGUGCUUUAUACUGUCUAUAUUAUAUAUAUUAUAAUGGCUAUCAAUGUGUGUGUGCUUUAUACUGUCUAUAUUAUAUAUAUUAUAAUGGCUAUCAAUGUGUGUGUGCUUUAUACUGUCUAUAUUAUAUAUAUUAUAAUGGCUAUCAAUGUGUGUGUGCUUUAUACUGUCUAUAUUAUAUAUAUUAUAAUGGCUAUCAAUGUGUGUGUGCUUUAUACUGUCUAUUAUAUAUAUAUUAUAAUGGCUAUCAAUGUGUGUGUGCUUUAUACUGUCUAUUUAUAUAUAUUAUAAUGGCUAUCAAUGUGUGUGUGCUUUAUACUGUCUAUAUUAUAUAUAUUAUAAUGGCUAUCAAUGUGUGUGUGCUUUAUACUGUCUAUAUUAUAUAUAUUAUAAUGGCUAUCAAUGUGUGUGUGCUUUAUACUGUCUAUAUUAUAUAUAUUAUAAUGGCUAUCAAUGUGUGUGUGCUUUAUACUGUCUAUAUUAUAUAUAUUAUAAUGGCUAUCAAUGUGUGUGUGCUUUAUACUGUCUAUAUUAUAUAUAUUAUAAUGGCUAUCAAUGUGUGUGUGCUUUAUACUGUCUAUAUUAUAUAUAUUAUAAUGGCUAUCAAUGUGUGUGUGCUUUAUAUUGUCUAUUUUAUAUAUAUUAUCAUGGCUAUCAAUGUGUGUGUGCUUUAUACUGUCUAUAUUAUAUAUAUUAUAAUGGCUAUCAAUGUGUGUGUGCUUUAUAUUGUCUAUUAUAUAUAAUUAUAAUGGCUAUCAAUGUGUGUGUGUGCUUUAUAUUGUCUAUUUUAUAUAUAUUAUAUUAUCAUGGCUAUCAAUGUGUGUGUGCUUUAUAUUGUUUAUAUUAUAUAUAUUAUAAUGGCUAUCAAUGUGUGUGUGCUUUAUAUUUAUAUUAUAUAUAUAUUAUAAUGGCUAUCAAUGUGUGUGUGUGUGCUUUAUAUUGUCUAUAAUAUAUAUAGUUAUAAUGGCUAUCAAUACCAAUGCUUUAUAUUGCAUUAUGGACACAUUGAAUAUUGCCAUGUAAGCAGUGUUAUGCAGGUCAGAAUUGUGUAUAUAAUUAAUGUCUAUAGAGUGUGUGUGUGUGUGUGUGUGUGUGUGUAUAUAUAUAUAUAUAUAUUUGUGCUAACAGAUUUACUAGUAAAUGUACAGUUUUGUUUUGUUUGUUNNNNNNNNNNNNNNNNNNNNNNNNNNNNNNNNNNNNNNNNNNNNNNNNNNNNNNNNNNNNNNNNNNNNNNNNNNNNNNNNNNNNNNNNNNNNNNNNNNNNGGAUGCAGCAUUUGCAAAAUAAAUUGAAAAGUACGCUUUACACAGCGUAUAAGGGUGAUGUCACAGCACAACGGGAAUCUAACAGGGGGAGAGGUGGAAGUCAUCCUCCUCCUCCCAUGACCACGCCGGCAAGGACAGGACGCUUUAGAGACGUGUUGUUGAUGGAGGACAUGCAGACCUUUUUAAGUCCUACGCAUCGCCACAGCCCUUCGGGAUCCACCCUCAGAGAGUGACUCGACCGACAGGUAGCAGACUACCUCGCCUUAACUGCAGAUAUCGACACUCUGAGGAGCCAUGAACCCCUUGACUACUGGGUGUGCAGGCUUGACCUGUGGCCUGAGCUAUCCCAAUUUGCGAUAGAACUUCUGGCCUGCCCCGCUUCAAGUGUCCUGUCAGAAAGGACCUUCAGUGCAGCAGGAGGUAUUGUCACUGAGAAGAGAAGUCGCCUAGGUCAAAAAAGUCUAGAUUACCUCACCUUUAUUAAGAUGAAUGAGGGAUGGAUCCCUAAGGGACUGACACUGGGCGAUACAUUAGAUUAAAAAAGGCCUGAUGAGAUGAGCUGCCUUGGGCUAAAAAUGGUCCACACGCUGCUGUAUUUUAGCUCUGAAUGCCGGUUGACUUGCGUGACUUAUCCGCCACCAACUAGGGUUCAAGCCGCCAUGUUUUAGGGCACUUUCUGCCCUAAAUUAUAGAUUGAAUAGCAGUUAGUUGUCUCAAAGCGGGUGUGUCAGGCUCACAGUGGAUACUGUGCCCAGUGCCACCACUCACUCACUGGUGUCACAAUAGCUUGGAUUAAAAAAAAAAAAACUUUUUUCACUGUUAUAGAUUGAAUAGCAGUCAGUGUCCUUAAAGCGGGUGUGUUACGCUAACAGUGGAUACGGUGACCAGUGCCACCACUAACUAUACCAGUUAGUUAUCUUCAAGCAGGUGUGUCAGCCCUACAGCGUGUACUCUGCCAGUACGCUGCCACCUCCUCUACUCCUCCUACUCCAUCCUCUUCCAUAACCUCCUCGGCUGAGUUCUCUUCUGCUGCUGCGUCUUGCUCCACAUCAACGGAUAUUAGGGACGCACAGUGAUUAAACUGAUAACAAUAGUACUAAACACAAUCUUUUCACCUUCUAUCUGGUGGCACAUUAGAUUGCACGCAGUGCCCCAAAUUUGUUGUGAUCUGUGAGUAAGGUAAACGGUUGUCCAUACAAGUAGGUUGCAGCUUUUGAGGGCCCACACCACCGCCAUGCACCUUUCAAUGGCAGUGAAUCUACUUCGCUAUGCAAAAGUUUACGGCUUAGGAUAAAAUCAAUGCCGCGGUACACGCCCACCGAUAGGAGAUUAUAUUUAAACUGAUAAAAAAUAGUACUAAACACACCACUCCUAUCUGGUGGCACAUUAGAUUGCACGCGCAGUGCCCCAAAUUUGUUGUGAUCUGUGAGUAAGGUAAACGGUUGUCCAAAGGCAGCUUUUUGAGGGCCCACACCACCGCCAUGCACUCCUUUUCAAUGGCAGUGAAUCUACUUUGCUAUGCAAAAGUUUACGGCUUAGAUAAAAAUCAAUGCCGUGUACACGUCCACUGAUAGGAGACGCGGAAGGUAUUAAACUGAUAAAAAUAGUACUAAACACACCACUCCUAUCUGGUGUUACAUUAGCUUGACCGCGCAGUGCCCCAAAUUUGCAGUAAGAGGACCGACCAAGCCUCUUCUUCCAUCUCCCUGUUACAAAAAUCAAUGCCGUGUACACGUCCACUGAUAGGAGACGCGGAAGGUAUUAAACUGAACAGUCUCUAUUCUGCUCUUGCAUUUCUAUUUCUUCAUAGAAAACGAAAAAUUCUGAGAAGACGUUGGCAGGGCUAUCACCUGUGUGAUCUGUCAUGAAUUGUCAUUUGAAUGUUAUUUUGAACUGUGGGGCACAAGAACUUGAAUCUGACAAAAUGGCUGCCAUAUACACGUCCACUGAUAGGAGACGCGGAAGGUAUUAAACUGAUCAGAACAAUACUAAACACACCACUCCUUUUUUUUGGUGAGGCUUUACAGGACAGAGUGCUUCUCCACGGGACAUGUUAACUCACGGGCAGCUGGCUCAUCAAGGAACCAGAGCAGCAGCUUUCCAUGUACAGGUAAGACACGUGCAGCCGGUAAGGGUUCAGGCUCUUCUUCCUGGAGGAUACGCUGCAAGCCUGUUGAACGAGGUGACCUUGCUCGGGUCCCAGGUGUACGGUUCCUAAAAUGGCUGCCAUAUACACGUCCACUGAUAGGAGACGCGGAAGGUAUUAAACUGAUCAGAACAAUACUAAACACACCACAAAUAAGGUUUCUCUCCUGUAUGGCUCCUCAAAUGAUGCUUAAGAUUAGAAGCGGCUGAAAAGCAUUUCUCACACUCCGAACAAAAAUAUAUUUUUUUAACAUUCUCUCCACUUUGAACGAAAUGACGUUUGGGAAGAGAUUAACAUAAUUAAACACAGGCAGUAAAAAUACAGUUUUUAGCCAUACCCUGUAACUUUAAAACUACACAUCCCAUCUUCAUAAUUACAUAUUUGGAAUCAGCACACUUAAAACAUAAACAUAACCAAAAAUCAGCCAAAUCCAUCCAGGGGUUAAAAAGUUAGCUGGAGGUCCCUUUAUGACCGACCGCAAGCACAUUUUCCUGCCCAAAACAGUUCCAUAGAUUUGGGCUGUGAGGUCGGUCUAUUUCAGGCUGAAAAAAGACUAAGUCUCAUCGAAUGGGACUUAGUCUCUGCAGCUGAAAUAAGGCUGAAAAAACGGCUGAAAAGACUAAGUCCCAUCGCCGAAUGGGACUUAGUCUCUGCAGUAAAACCAGUAGGGGAGAAGGUAGAGCGUCUUCGCGAAAUGUGUAGCCGAUUUUAGUUCCAUGAAUUUGGCUACACAUACCGCUGACCUCGUCGAAUGAUCAAAGAUGGCCGCCGCCACAUGUUCGGCAAACGAACAAAGACCUCCCAGCAUUGUCAAUUAAGCUGCGGUUAACCACAGCUUCUGGGAGGUAAAUUGCCUGCACACUUCCACUUCUGGGUGGUCUGAAUGUGUGGUACUUGGUUCAGUAAGCCCCAUUUACUGAACCAAGUGGGAAUUAGCCAGGCAGACACAAAGGGUUUGCAGCAGGUCUGGGGACACAGGGGACACCGUCUUAAAGGGGCAGUGUCCCCAACAAGUCUGGGGACACAGCCUUAAAGGGGCAGUGUCCCAAUCUUCCUGAUGUCCCAAAAAAGGUGUUUAAAGGGCCAGCACCAGUCACAUAUAGAGUCCAUAAGCCCCAAUAUGCCCACUGACAGUCUUAAAGGGCCAUACACACCAAAUAAAAGUGCAUACAUUUUCACAAUCUCCCAGGGGCCAUAGUCAUGCGGGAGGAGGCUGGCAAAUAGGCUUCUCCACAACCCAGGGAAGCAGGGCAAUUUGCCAUUUAAAGGGCCGUUACAAAUAGCAGUUUGUAACAAGGUGUCAAUCCAUAUCUGCCAAGUGACCCGAUGUAGGGGGAACAGUCCCUAUUCUGCUCUGUGUCAGUGUGUAUCAUGGUCUCUGAGGACAGGUGUCAAUCCAUAUCUGCCAAGUGACCCUAUGUAGGGGGAACAGUCUCUAUUCUGCUCUGUGUCAGUGUGUAUCUUGGUCUCUGAGGACAGGUGUCAAUCCAUAUCUGCCAAGUGACCCUAUGUAGGAGGAACAGUCCCUAUUCUGCUCUGUGUCAGUGUGUAUCAGGGAUCCCUAGGACAGGUGUCAAUCCAUAUCUGCCAAGUGACCCGAUGUAGGGGGAGCAGUCCCUAUUCUGCUCUGUGUCAGUGUGUAUCAGGGAUCCUUAGGACAGGUGUCAAUCCAUAUCUGCCAAGUGACCCUAUGUAGGGGGACCAGUCUCUAUUCUGCUCUGUGUCCGUGUGCAUCAGGGCUCUGAGGACAGGUGUCAAUCCAUAUGUCAAGGUGUCAAUAUGUCAUAUGUCAGGUGUCAAUCCAUAUUCAUUGUGAUUUAGGAAUGUUAGGUGAUUUCUGCCCUUUAUGGAUUAAAACCAGACUCUGUAUCAACUAUGUAAUUUUCCAUGGGAGUUUUGCCAUGGAUCCCCCUCUGGCAUGCCACAGUCCAGGUGUUAGUCCCCUUGAAACAACUUUUCCAUCACUAUUGUGGCCAGAAAGAGUCCCUGUGUGUUUUAAAAUUCGCCUGCCCAUUGAAGUCAAUGGCGGUUUGGGCGGUUCGCCGGUUUGCGAACAUUUGCGGAAGUUCGCGUUCGCCGUUCGCGAACCGAAAAUUUCGGGUUCGCGACAUCACUAUUCGUGAAUGGUUCGCCACGAACGGUUCACCACGGACUCAUCAUUGAGUAAACUUUGACCCUGUACCUCACAGUCAUCAGACACAUUCCAGCCAAUAAGCAGCAGACCCUCCCUCCCAGAUCCUCCCACCUCCUGGACAGCUCACUAAGAAUGAAGCUUCAAAAUGAAUGCUGUCCAGGAGGUGGGAGGGUCUGCUGCUUAUUGGCUGGAAUGUGUCAAUGAUGAGUCCGUGGCAAACCGUUCGCGAACCGUUCGGCAAACCGUUCGGGACAUCACUAUUUAUGUUCUAUAUUAAUGUGACAUUGCAGUUAAGAUGUUCUCCGGGACAAACUUGAAAACCAGAAGAAAUAAUGUUUUUCUCUGGUGUAACACUUUAUGAAUAACAGCAUAAAUAUAAAAUCAGAAAACAGCAAUUACCAAAAGAACAAUCCUAUUAAUAGUGCAUUUACCCAGAAUAAAGUUAAUUAAUUCCACCAUUAUAUAAAUAAUAGUUUCUAUCUUUUUACCUUGGAGGAUGUGCUACAAUAUUGACAGUUCCUUGUGAUUGGUUCUACUGUUCUCCUCUAAUUAGCCCAUUAAAUCAGUGACUGACUUUUGUAACAUAUGGUUAUGUAAUAUAUUCAAAGGAAAGAGUAAAAAUUGAGGUUUGGUUUUUCUACGACUGCACACAUUUUUUUAUGCAGCUUCAAUUGAAUAGGUGUAUGAUUUAUAAUGCACAUUAAAUCCACAAGCUUUCUGUUAUGGCAUAGAAAGGUGAAGUGAGUUAAAUGUACUCAAUCAGAAAUGGCAAUAUAUGCACCAAUCUGUGUGCAGAGAGGUAUCGACAGCCGAAUCCAGCACAGAUCCCCACUCUAAUCACCCUUAGCUGUGCAGCAAAUAAAUCAUUAAGUUUUUAUUUAUAUCAAUGAGUCUUUAUUCUAGCCCCUAAGAGGUCACCUGGCAAAAUUGCAACUUGAGAAAUUCCUUGGGAGUUGAAACGCUGUCAGGUCACCCUGCACCCUCUGUGGCUAGAAUAAAGGCACACUAAUAGGAAUGGAGAUUCUGUGAUUUAAUAUUUGCUAAAGGGCAAUAUAUUUGCCUGUGUAGACAGAGAAAUUCUGGAUCAGUAUUAGAUUCUAAAUAAUCAACAAAAAACCAACAGGAUGUUGCUGUUCCGACACAAUGGAUUUAUGAAUAUAUCUGACUUUUUCAUGCAAAAAUGUGGCAAAAUUUUCUCGCCAUUUUAAAUUUGCCAGUCUUCUGAAAUAGACAUUUCUCCAAAAAAAUUAGAAUUUAUUAUGAAUUAAACUGUCACUUUUUAGAUUAAUUUAAUAAAUACAAUAAAAAAAAAUGGAAUUUUACAAACACUUUUCAGAACACUGUGAUAAAUAUCCCCCAAAGAGUUCUGUCUGGGGAAAAAAGCCAGCCAGCAAUGUUAGUCUCAUACUGAUCAAACAAUUACACAUAAAUGAGUUGGAGUGCCCACUCACUGAACUGGGAGGCAGCCUUGUACUGCAAAUGCCAAAAGUAAUGGGACAGGUGAACCUAAGGUUCCCCAAAACCUAAGUAUACCCAACUAUCAUUGGUAAUGAUCAAUACCCUGGCACAAACAGUACUAACCCAGGUACAGGUUCUGGACCACUGGCAUUUUAUGGCUAAGUCUGAAUAAAGAAUAAAAUAAGGCUUAAAAAGUGGUACCCAUUGAGGAAUCCUCGGGAUUACAUUAACCCCUUAAGGACACAACUUCUGGAAUAAAAGGGAAUCAUGACGGAAUAUUUCCGCCAUGUGUCCUUAAGGGGAUAAUAUCUGGAUUUAUUCUGUACCAAUACGGCAACAGCCCUUUCUGGUGCUAAAUCCCCAUGACAAUAAUAUUUCUACACAAGACACUAAGGACUAUUUAGAUAUACAAACCCUAAAUAAUUGUCAGUUCUAUGUUAGGUGUACAUGGUGUAGAUCUGUACGUGUGGUGGGUAAAUGUUGCACUGUUCAUACUGACGUACAUUUGAUAAGUAGUCAGUGAGAGUAUCUCAACACAAAUGGACUUGAGAUUUGUAAGAUUAAAGAGAGAUUAAAGUUUGGGGGUUUUUUUUAAAUAAAGUUACAUGAUCAAUUGCAUUCUCUUUUUAACAUAUAAGGAAAGUUAAUACUGCAAAUUGCAGAACGGAUAUUUAGUCAGCUAAAUGCCACAUAAUGCUAAAUAUUGAUGGAUAAACAAACAUAAAGGUUCAUGUAAGUCUGACGUGUUAAAACCAUGGCUCCCCUGCAAGUCUGUCUCUCUACCCAAAAUCUGGUUAUUGAUGUGGAUACUGGUAAUACCAGGGAUUUGCAGAAAUGUCAUUACUUAAUUAUAAUAAUAAUGAAGAUGUUUAUCAAAUGGUUUUAGGGAGAUAUCAACAAACUGAUAUAAAAUCUAAAUUCUAAGCAAAAACACACUGACAGAUGUUAAAUAUGCAUUAAAUAUUUUUCUUCCAGGAUCUGCUUGUCACAGCGUUAUUAAGGAUAGCAGUGCAUGCACAUACCAUGUCCCGG
RNAcentral lists this long non-coding RNA (45904 nucleotides) under Pelobates cultripes (western spadefoot toad). The record is from RNAcentral. Lineage: Eukaryota; Metazoa; Chordata; Amphibia; Anura; Pelobatidae.